RNAcentral lists this long non-coding RNA (63474 nucleotides) under Lynx pardinus (Iberian lynx). Lineage: Eukaryota; Metazoa; Chordata; Mammalia; Carnivora; Felidae. The record is from RNAcentral.
AUUGUUCGCACUCCAUCCGGGAAGUUACGACUUUACUGCAAAGGAGCUGUAAGUUUUUAUUUUUGUCUUUAACAGUUUUGAUUUAUGACGGUUUAUAAUGUAUACGUUCAGCAUUCUGCUAUGGAAAUGUAACACAGAUGUUUAGCAUAAAGUUGCUGACAUCCACUUUCCUUGGUGUUUUAUAGUAAUAGUGUUCAGCCUCUUCUGGUGAAAUGCGGAAUUCCUUCUGGGUAAAUUUGGUGCUUUGAAAAAAUUUGGCCUAGGUUAUGUAUAUAAUUCAAUUUUUGAUACAUAAUAUUUGAGGUUUAUAUUAUAAAAUACGUUAGAAGACAAUUAAAGUAGAAAAUGCUUUGAAAUUGUAUUAGAAAUGUAAUGAUCCACACCAGUUUGAAUCUAAUUUUUUUAAAGACCAUAGAAACAUGGGGAAAAAUUGGAUCACAGUGACUGCUGUAAUUUUCAUCAUAUGGUCAUUACUAUUUGUUUUGCAUUGUUCUAAUUAUAACAGAAUUUCUGACUAUUGGUUGGCUUUUGUAUAUUGGCAGGUUAUAUUGACAAAAAUAGUAAUUUGUCAUUCGAAGUGAAUUUUCCUAGUUAAAAUAUGUUUAUACUCAUAGAAAUCUAAAUAAGGGGUCUACGGACCAGAGCCACUUUUUGUUCCUAAAAUUAGCAUUUUUCUUCUGAAUUAUCCUUUCUGGACACCUAAUCUACUUGGACUAGUCAGAUAACUUACCAACUUAGAACUUUCCAAUUUUAAAUAUAAUUGCAACCUUGAUUUAUUGAAUGAAACCUGGAAACUGAACUUAUUAGGAAGCCAAAGCUUAUUACUUAAAUUUUUGUUGAAAAUGUUUUUCAAUGCCUUGGUUUUAAAGCAUUGAAAUGCAAUUUUGAAUGCCGUGUUUUUAAAGCAUUUUGGUAGAAUUAUUUCGUGACGUCUCAUAAAUUUAGGUUUAGAAUUCCUCCGGUUGUUGACUGAAACAAGUAACAUUUAUUCAUUGUGUGCACUUUAUCUACCAGCCUUUCAGCUGGAUUUUGGAAAAAGGAAGAUAAGACCCAAUACUUGUCAGGAGCUGAGCCUAGUCAGGAAAAUAUAUAUAAAGAGAAGACUAGUAUACAAUAUUGAGGUAUACUUUAAAGUUCUCCCACAUUCCAAGGGUAGUAUUUAGUGAUAAGGGAAUGAUUGAUAUGUGUUCAGUUUACACUCAACUUACAUCCUUCCAUUCUUAGUUUUGAGUAAUCAUCCAUCUAGAACCUUUGGGGAGUUAAAGCACUGAAUAAACUAUAAAAACACUGGAUUUCCUUUUUGUAUAAUCAUGGAGAGUUUGUAUACAUUAACUUGCUUAUUGCAUUGUUUCCCCUCACUCCCAACCAAGUUGGCUGUGAAAUGCCGCCGAAUGCUAAAAAGGCAGAAAUAUGUAAAACAGCAAGGUACACUUGAGAACUGCACACAGUUUGGCAGGGAAUAGCAGAAUUCAAGGCUGGCAAGGUGAGCAUGCAUUAGGUCAUGCAUUAUUUUCAUGCUCACGAACUUGUAUUUUUUUCUGAAUUAUUCUGGUGCCAUUUAGGAAGAUGGCUUAAGGCAGAAAAGAGAUGCAUACAGAGUUACCAGUUGAUGCUAUUGUCCCAAGAGUUGAUGAGGAUCUGAACCAAGACAGUUACAGAGAGGAUUGAGAGGGUGGAGAUUUAGGACUUAGUAACUGAUUACAUGUGGGUGAUGAGGGAAACCAUGAUCUAGGAUUGUUAUCCAAUUUCAACUUAACUGGGUAGACGAAGUGGUACCACGUCCCAUGAUAGAGGGUUGGGAACUACAUCUGGGCCAUGAGGCAGAGAUGUUUGGAUUAUACAUGGGAAGGAAUCUAGGGUGCUGAUACAGAUUUAGGAGUUAACAAGUAUAGCUGGAAACUAAAAGCAGAGGAUUGAUGAGAUCUUGUAAGGAGAUAUUACAUGAAAAGAAGAGGCUAAAAGUGAAGAGUUAGAGGAUCUAAAAAGAGAGAUUUAAUCAGGAUUGGGGAGCAGUGGUUGGAGUUUGGUUUCUGUGAGACAAUGGGGGCAAAUAGUGCUUUCUGUAAAAUGUGGAUGGGAGCCUCUUUGAUGCAUGAGACAGUGAUGAGGUUCCUAAUUAUGAGAAGAGACUAAGAAAAGCUCAUACCAACUCUGCUGGGGGGGGGUAUAUAAAACCAUCAGAUUGGGGUACACACAAACAGGGAGAGAGUGAGAGCAAAACUUAGGGACACAUGAGGUAAGUCUAAUGCCGAAGAGAGAACAAGCAUGUCAAUCAACCACUGGACACGAAUUCACUCCAGGUGAAAUCAUUUGUACAGACAGGUCUGACCAAGGAUGCUUAGAGCUCAACAUGAUUUAAAAAACAACAACAACUAUUUUUAAUCAAAAAGAAAUUGGGUGGGGCGCCUGGGUGGCUUGGUCGGUUAAGCGUCCGACUUCGGCUCAGGUCAUGAUCUCACGGUCUGUGAGUUCGAGCCCCGCAUCAGGCUCUGGGCUGACAGCUCAGAGCCUGGAGCCUGCUUCCGAUUCUGUGUCUCCCUCUCUCUCUGACCCUCCCCCGUUCAUGCUCUGUCUCUCUCUGUCUCAAAAAUAAAAUAAAAACGUUAAAAAAAAUUAAAAAAAAAAAAAAAAGAAAUUGGGGUUGAGGGGUGGGGGUACGUGUAAGCUAAAUUGGAAGUCCUAAACAAUCAAGAGAAAACAUCACUAAAUGGAAUAAACUCUAAACAGAGUGGAAGGGGCAGGGGCGGAGUCAGUGAAUUGGAAGACAGCACUGAAGAGUUCAUCUAGAAUACAGCACAGAGAGAUGGUGGUUCUCUGUGUGUGUGGAUAUGGAUGGUUUAUUUUUUUAUUCUUUUCCAGGUUUUCUGCAAUGAAGUUGCCUUGCUUUUUUAAUUUUAAAUGAAAAAAAGGAAAAGUAUACAAUAUACAGUUUAUGUCUGCAAUAGUAGCCUAUUUUUAAAAAGUUAUAUCGACACGAAUAAAAUCUUAAUUUAUUCAAGAAAAUAAAAAUGCUAUUCCAGUAGGGGGCGCCUAUAGGGGUGCCUGGGUGGCUCAGUCUGUGAAGCGUCUGACUUUGACUCAGGUCAUGAUCUCUCGGUUUGUGAGUUCAAGCCCUGUGUGGGGCUCUGUGCUGACAGUUCAGAGCCUGGAGCCUGCUUCAGAUUCUGUGUCUCCCCAUCUCUUGGCCCCUCCCAUGCUCAUGCUCUGUCUCUCUCUUUCUUUCAAUAAUCAAUAAACGUUAAAAAAAAAUUUUUUUAAUACUAAUAAUUAAAAAAAUAAAAGAUGAACAGGAAAACAACUUUUCAAGUGAAAAUCGACCUAAGAUGAGUUAUUCAUCUUGAAGCUGUAGACUCUUCACAUAAACACCUGGAAUCUGUGCCGUGCACUCCAGGAACAUCCCCUCUUGCACUGUUUUCUGAUCUUACCUUGCUGAGGGGCUAGGACACCAGAUAAGUAAAUCCAGUUAGGAUUUUUCUAUAAAUGUAGACUCAGUAGGUUCUAAUCCGAUCCUAAGGGUGCACACGCUUUCGUUCUGUGAAGAAACCUUUUUGGUCCUAACCACGUACCAUAUACUUGAUGUAGCUCUCUGAAUUAAUGAGCAUUACUCUGGGUAAAAAGUUGAUCUUCAUGUAUUUCUGACAGGUAAGCAUGGCCAGUUGUGACUGUCGUUUAAAAACAUACCAUAUAAUUCAUGUAUAUUCUGUCUCUUGCGUUCCUUGAUACCAUAAAAAGAUAGAAAAUUCUAUUUUGGACAUCAGUGUCUUCCGCUAGAAAAUUUGGCUACGUUGCAGAAUUUAAUCUUCCUUAUCACUUUGGUUUUCGUGACUUUAAUUUUUUAAAAGAUUUUCUUAGUUUCAAAGCAGCCUAUUUAAUUUCUUUGAAAAAGUCAUUAGCCUCUGGAAAAAAAUAGAUUUCACAAGUUAUACCUUUCAUUCCUAGAAAGGAACCAUGAGGGGAAAUUACCAUUUCCUUUUGCUUUGCCCCCCCCCUUCCUAUUCCACCACUAAAGAAUGAAAAGAAAUUCAUAAUUGGGGCCUGGAAUAUUCCAUCUGUCCUGAGGUCACUAAGUUCUUGUUUCUCUCAAGGGUUCUAAAUCAUACUCCAUUAGCCUCCUUCCAAAUCUCAGCCCUGAGACUGGAGACCCCAAAAUGGGUAAUACCACUGAGAAAGUAAUUGCAGGUAAAUGAUUUAUUUUUUCCUAGUCUAAUAAAACCAUGAAGGCCAAACACUAAAAUUCUUAAAACAUUAAAUCCAAGCUGAGGAAUAACUAAAGGAACAAUAAGCAAUUUAUAAAGGGGCAAAAAUCAGAGAACUGUAAGUGGUGCACAACAUUCACGCCGAAAGGCACUUUAAAGAUAAUCCAGUAAUUGCAUUUUACAGACUAAGUUAAUUGAGCUUUCAGAAGAUAAAGUGACACAAUCAGAAAUAUUCAGCUAUCAGGCAAUGCUAGAUUUGUUCAGAAUUCUCCUUAUCAUACCCACCAACCCUCUCAGUGGAUUUGGCCUUGUGUUUCUCAAAGUUUGUUCUCUGUGAGCACCAACCCCAUAGAGAUGCCCUAAUCCCUAGCCCGGGCUCCAUAGUGAAUGAGUCUGGGGAACAUACCACAUGGCCCCCUUAGACAUCUGUUCACAUUAGCAUUUUAAGGGCUCUAAGUAUUCCUACAGGGCAAGCUUCGUUCAGCCCAGCACUUCCCAAACUUUUUGAGUACUGGACCAUUUUUCCCUGUGGCACCCAGGAACACUGCAGCAUCCUGCCCUACCUUCAGGGUUGGGGAAGAUCUUGCAAGAUAAGUGAGGUACUGCUAGAAUAUGAAAUGUUGAUCACUGGAGUAACUACGGAUGUAUUCAGAAAGGAGAAAGAUGAAAAUAUAUGACUCAAACCUUAUUUCUUAGUGUCACUAGGGAAACAGUGUUAUUAGGCAAAAAAUAUUUUGUGCUUUAAAAUUAAUGCUCAAAGUGAUUGCUUGUUUUUAUACUGAUUUGCUGCUAAUAAUGCUGCCAACAUUAAUGUUCAUUAAGCUCAAGAUGCUUACUUUAAUUGCAUUCUACCUUCUGUUUGUUUUCGAGGACACUGUAAUUUAUGAUCGACUGGCAGAGACUUCAAAAUACAAAGAAAUUACCCUAAAACAUUUAGAGCAGUUUGCUACAGAAGGUGAGUAUAAUACAGCAAUACAGCAUGAUUAAAAUAAAAAGAAAUCAAAUACUUCUGGUGUCUUGCAAGAUUGUUGUUUCUUGACUUAGAAAUUCCUAAAGUAAGAGAACAAUUAAUGUUGAUAAUUUAGAUUAUACUAUAUGCUGUUCCUAUUAUUUUUGCUUGCUUUUCUGUAUUAAAAUUUUGAGAGACUUAGCCCCCAAGUUUUAGGGGUAUAGGGCCUAUAAAUCUGUUCACUUUUUAGAAUGGGUACUAUUCACAUUAUAAAUAUGUUGUAUCUCUAGCAGUGUAGAAGGAAGAGAAACAAACAAAACAACUGGCUAUGCUAGUCUGAAUAAGAAAGAGGAGAAAAAUAAGCCUAUAUGGCUAUAAGAACAGUUAUUCAGUAUAGUUUUAACUCAAGACUUCUUAGGCCCCUACCACAUGACAGGCUCUGUGUGAGGCUUGGGAUCUAAACAUGUUGAGUCCUGUCUCUGUGUCCUCCUGAAACAUAUGAUCUGUAUAGCAGAGCAGUGCAUAGUCUAGGGGAAUGAUCUAGAUUAGAUGGGAGGACUCGAGAGUCCUUAAACAGUAGGGUCUGUUACUACAAGAAUUUGUAGAGCCUUAUCUCUGAACUUAACAGAAGUAGUCAGAGCUGUAUCUAAAUCUCCCAUCUAAGGUUUCACUCUUGUCUGCUUCAGCUACAACGGUCACCAAAUGCAGCAAGCCUGACCUCUGAUCAAAUCCUUUUUCCUCUUAAUCCAAAAGCUGCAAAAAGAUAGGAACGUUUUAAAAAGCACGAGGUUUUGAAAAGCAAGGGCAUAAAGAACCUUCUCCCAGCUCUCCAAAAAUGCAAGAGCAUGGAGACACUCCUGUUCAUAGAGUUCAGAUUCCUCAAGGCGCAUCCUCAGCUGGGCUCGGCGGGUACAACCUAGCCAGCAUCCUGCCCAGGUUCUUUUUCUGGAGGAGGGUUGAGGGAACAUCUCUCUCUUCUCUGGUUAUGAUACGAGGAUAGUCCAGCUCCUAGACAAAUUUAAGUUUUCUUGGUCUUCACCUCCACCCUAUUCUUUCUGGCCCUGGGCUGAACAUCGCUUUUACUCCAUGGCUACCCCAGAGUAAGUCUUCAGCCAAAUUUCCAAAAGAGAAAAACAUGUCCUAAUAUGGCCCCAAAGAUUUAGCUUCUACUCUCCGUGAGCUGGCAAUGGACAACCCUACUCCUUUCUUGGAAGAUAGAGUCCUCUGGGCACUUUAUGUUCUCUGCUUCUUAUUUCUGACAUGUUCCCUGGUCAUAUUUUAUUUGGCUUGCGGUCACUAGCACCUCGUUAUUCUAUGAGUUAAUGACUUUGAGUGAGGGUGUUGUCUUCUCAGGAACCCAAUUAACUGCAUUUGUCCUGGCUGACAAAUGCUUUUGCUUCUUCCUUGUUCCAAUCCACCGUUUUUUGUUUUUUGUUUGGCUGAAGGUGGUUUCCAAGUGAGUUAUGAAAUUGAUAGACACUGAUCACGAGGAGUAGGUCAUCUCAAACAUCAGAUUCGGUUGUUUUCCUAGGGUGUUUCUGAUGAGUACUUUUGUUUUGUCACUAUCCCUCAGGUCUUUUAGACUCUUUAUACUACACUUUUAUGGUGAUAAAGAACAAUAAUAAAUACAAGUAUAUAUCCCUGUAUGAGGCACAUGGCUUUCCUAGGAGACCCCAUUGGGGUCCCUCUUUUUCCUCAUAAGCAUCUAUGAAGCAUCUACAAGCCAGCUACUGUGCCCAGUACUAGAGUUAGAGGUAUGAAGAACUCAGGGCCCCUUCCCUCCAGGAUCUGGACACUAAUACAGGAAAUCCACAAGAAAAACAGUAUGAAACAUUGUCAUUCACACCAUAGGUGUGUUUGGGGAUUUCUGCCUGUGGGGUCUGAGUGAGAGGAGAAUGCUUCCGAGAGAUGACAUUACGAACUGAGUCUUAAGGCAGAUGCAAGGCAGACAGUUGAGGGAGUUGGAGGGGGUGAAAGGGGGAAAAAGUGACCAGCGUGUGCAGAGACCCUGGUGUGUAGGAGGUAAAUGGCAGAGAAGGAGGUUGAAGACAAUUGGUACAGGGUAAGUGAGCCGGAUUUGGGGGUUUGGACUUUAUCCCGGGGAAUAAUUGAAAGAUCUCAAAAAAGGAAUAAUCUGAUAAGAUUUGGAUGUUGGAAAAGUCACUUUGGGAAAGGCACAAAGGAUGUAUCGAAAGAGCUAGGGAUCAGAAGCAGGGUGCCGGUUUAAGGUGAGGGGAGCACAAAUACCCAUUUUACACUAAAGUGGUGUCACAACUGAAUCAGACUUCAACAUAUUGUUUGAAUUGAGCCAGUCUUUUCAAAAUAAGACUUAUUUAUAUAAAAAUGGAAGGGUCCUACUUCUGAAUAAAAUCUUAUUUGGUGUUGGGGGGAUAUAUGCUGCCUUUUUUCAGGAUUACGAACUUUAUGUUUUGCCGUGGCUGAGAUCUCAGAGAGCGACUUUCAGGAGUGGCGAGCCGUCUAUCAGCGUGCAUCCACAUCCGUGCAGAACAGACUGCUCAAACUCGAAGAGAGUUAUGAGUUAAUUGAAAAGGUAUGUGAAAGACCAUUUUGCUCAUACAGAAAAUUUGGUUUCCAGAAAACUUCAGUCUUUUCAGGAGCCAAUAAAUAAAGAUCAGAACAUUUUGACACACCAUUCACUGUUGAAUUUCCUUGGGUCGAAGCAUCAACAGAUAUUAAUUAUGGUUAAAACUUUUGCCGAAAAGUCUCUGGAAUUACUUUGUGUAGACCUUCUUUUUUUUAUAUAAUUUUGGAUUGGAGUUAGGCUAAUUUCUUGCCAAUGUACACUAUUGCUUCCGCAUCAUUGAAGAUAAGCAUGCCCUCCUCCACACACACGUGCACACAAGUUACAUACACUACAUGUGUGUGUGUAUAUAUAUGUAUAUGUGUGUGUAUAUAUAUGUAUAUAUGUAUACAUACAUAUAUAUGUGUAUGUGGAAAUACGUUUGGAAAUAACUUUUCUCCUGCCUCAUUUUGUACACAGCCUGAAUAUGUAUAUAUGUAUAUAAAUGAAGAUUUAUAAUAUGUAAUACAAAAUAAUGUAAAAAUAUAGCUUGUGUGGCUCUAUACCUAAUAAUGAAGAAGACAUAAGUGAACAAUUCAGUGCUUAUACCUGGCUAUUCAUUGUGUAUAUGCACACACACACACACACACACACACACACGUAUGCAUACAUAUACAAACAUCCAUCAUUUGUGUCACAACCAAAAAUACUCUUAUUUUACAGAUAAGGAAACCAAGGCUAUUCAGCCAAAAAGCAAUGGAUACGCUAUGAUCGCUGCUUUAUAAGUAGCAAGAAAUCUCACCUCCUUAAUUAAGAAUGGCAGACAUAUUUGUGUAGUACUUACCGUGUGCCAAAUGCCUUUGUAGCCCUUGAAUCUAUUAACUAGUCCUCACAACAUCCCUUGGAGGCAGGUAAUGUUAAUGACUCCAGUUUCACAGAUGAAGAAAUCAAGGAAACAGAGAGGUUAAGUGAUUUGGUUGAGAUUACACAGUUCGUAAGAGGGUGAGCCAGAAUCCUCAUUCUGGCUCCAAAGUCCAUGCUCUUAGCCACUCAGGUAUCUUCAUUCUAACCUUUCACUUUCCAUCAAAUAACUUCUUUACUGCAUAAUUCCUUGACUGUAUUCAUGUUUGUACUACAUAGAAUCUGGUUUGUCUGUUAGCUUCAGCUUACUGGAUCUUGCCUGCAGGUUAGUAAAAGUUGACAUUUUUUUACUCCUUCCUCUUUUUCAAACAGUUUGCUCUCUGGCACUUCCUGUCUGAAAGGUGGUUAGCCCCACUGAUGCCUCCUUCCCCUUUCUGCUCCCAUAUGCUGCCUCUGUGUAUAAUACUGGGGAAUGUCAUGCCCCAGCUGCAGGUGGUUUUCUCUGUUGUAUACAGUGGCCAUUUGUGACACGAGAUAGUGUUCUCCUGUCUCCUCAGUGGACUGUGAUCACUUUAGAAGCUAGUUUUUUCUCAUACAUUCCUUGCAUUUGAACUUAUUUUUGUAUCUUGCUUAUUUCUCAGAAGACUUGUGAUAGCAUAUAUGGUACCUUCCAACUUAAUACCCAUCUACCCCCCAGCUUUAGAAGCACACACACAGCUUGUUAUCAGUUAACUUGUUGAAUAAGUCUCUCUCCCUCUCUUUUUUUCCCUAACAUAUUUAUAUAUGAUUAUGUCUUUGGGACAUAAUGUGGUAAAAUAAAAUACUUUAUUAUUUACAAUGCCAUGACCAUAAUCUCUUUCAAUCUCUCCAGCCAAAGUUACAUGUUUCCUACAGUACUAAUGGUUUGGGUUUUUAAUCUGUUGUUUUUUUCUUAUUGUUUUGAGGACUAAGAACAAAAAAACUAACGUUUGGAAAUACGUUUGGAAAUAACUUUUCUCCUGCCUCCUUUUGUACACAGCCUGAAUAAUAAUGUAGCCUUUACCUCCAUGGUAAUGUGAUAGAAUUAAUAUAUAAGAAGUUACAAUAAAAUAUUUGAAAAUGGAUUCUAACCAUUAAAUGUUGUUUCUGCAUAAAGCAUACUGUAGAAAAUUCUGGAGUUGAAUGUUUAACGUGCCUAAUAACAGUUUUACUCUGAACUCCCUAGAGUUUAUAGAUUAGGUUUUAUAGGUUUAACAGUUGUUGCAGCUGGGUGGGUGGGUGGGUGUGGGUGUGUGUGUGUGUGUGUGUGUGUGUGUGUGUAGUAAGUGUAAUAUCUGGUAUUAAAAGCCUUGGGACUUCCAUCUUUUAAAUGAAAUAGAAGUUCAACCUUUCUCCAGCAGAUGGUGAUCGUGAGUCACAUGGAAAAAUUUAACUUGUCUGGGAAAUGCAUUACAUGUAUAUGUAUAUUUUUAGCUUACACAUACAGAUGCCUCCCUCUGACUGCCUCUUUCCUAAAAUGAAUGAAAAGGAGAUUGAUAGCUAAUUCCUUUUUACUUUCUGAUAAGCCAUGGUCUCUAAGUUUUAUUGAAAAAUCUAAGAACCAGAAAGGUGAAAGGAUUGGUUCCCUUGCUCAGCCAGUUUCCAAAUAAGGGCUGGAUUUCUGUGUCCAUCCCUAUCCCUAAAACCAUAAUUCCACUCAGGUGUUUAUUUCAUUAACUUUAAUUAGGCUGCUAAUAGGUGUUAGGUAUUGGGGAAGCACAGGCAAAUAAGGAACACUCCCUCAGUGGAGGACCUGAGCAUCAUGGUCUGAACAAAUUCCUUAAGUAGGGAAUUCGGAAGGAACCCGAAAUGGUGACCCACAAGCUUGGUCCAACGGUAGCUCCAGAGACAUAAGUUUUAAAAUGAACUCCGGGGCUCCUGGGCAGCUCAGUCAAUUAAGCAUCCAAUUUAGGUUCGGGUCAUGAUCUCCUGGAUCAUGGGUUCGAACACCGUGUCAGGCUGUAUGCUGGCAGCUCAGAGCCUAGAAACUGCUUUGGAUUCUGUGUCUCCCCCUCUCUCUCUGCCCCUCCCUUGCUUGUGCUCUGUCUCUGCCUUUCUCAAAAAUAAACAUUUAAAAUUUUUUAAAUAAUAAAAAAUAAAAUGAACCCCAAAAGAUUAUUUUACCAGUUAAAAGAGGUCAGAGAUUUUUUUAGGGAAAAAGAACAGGCACAAUAAUACUGAAGAGUCUCUGUAACGAAGAGUUAUUUUUCUGAAAAUACUUUUGCCAUCCCUGAUCAUUUGAAGACUCUAGGAUUUUUAAUGUAUCUAGAGUCAGGGUGAUAUCACUGCUUCCUUGGUCUGAGCUUGCAUUCUGGGUUAAAAUCGCUGGGGUGAGUGUUCAGUAGGAAUUGUGGGUGAUUGUCAUUAAAACCACCCUACUGAGGCAGGUUUCAACAUGGCAGAGCACGGGUCCUGCAGGUGCAUUGCCCUGGCUUUACAUUUAGCUGUCAUAAUGUUAAGGGUCAACCGUUUUUGGCUUCUUCUUUGGCUACUUUAUUUAUUUUUUUUAAUUUUUAUUUUUGUAUCUGUUUUUAUUUUUAGAGACUGCAUGAGCAGGGGAAAGGGGCAGAGAGAUAGAUGAAGACAGAGAAUUCUAAGCAGGCUCCAUGUUCAGCACAGAGCCCAAAGGGGCUUGAUCCCACGACCCUAGAAUCAUGAUCUGAGCCCACAUCAAGAGUCAGAUGCUCAACCGACUGAGGCACCAUAGCGUUCUUUGGCUACUUUAAAUGAGACAUGUGGAUUAUGUAGUCUCUUUUUAUGUGAUUGCAAUCUGUUUUUUGGGGUGGACCACAAUAUUAGACUUAGCAUGUAGAUAGUGAAUUUUAAAUCUUUCUUCUAACAGCAAAACCCAUUUAGCAAACAAAGUAUUGCCUGAAUCAUAAUAUGUAUAAGAGAUACAAGCAGAGUUGCUCUGAUUAAGGGUGGAGGGGUGGAGAGGACCCCCAAAUUGGCUCUCCCCUCAACCUCAGCACCUUGCCCUCAUCAUGGUCAGUGAGAAGCCUUUCAUGAUUCUGGGCUUCACUGAGCACCUUUUGAAACCAUAUAAUAUUCCAUCUGUGUGUGAAAUUUUUAGAAAAUGUGCUUCUCAAAAUACUAUAGAUUUUCAAUGCUUUUCAGUUUUGUUAGGAAGAAAGAGGGCACGCACAUGAGCGGGGGAGAGGGGCAGAGGGAGAAGGAGAGAGAAUCUUAAGCGGGUUCCAUGCCCAGCGUGGAGCCAGAGUCAGGGCUCAAUUCCAUGACCCUGGGAUCAUGACUGAGCUGAAAUCAAGAGUCGAAUGCUUAACCAACUGAGCCACCCAGGUGCCCCUCAAUGCUUUUCACUUUUCAAUGAAAAACCAGAUCAUCACUGUGGUCCCUGCACAAGAGGUUUCUGAACAUAUUUGAAUUAAUGAUGCAAAAUGCCAUUGACAUGUUAAUGGUAGUAUUACAUUAAAGACAUUCAAAAUUUGAAAGAUUCGUAGAGCUUUUCCUGAAAAUGAGAAUAUUUUUAAUAUGUUACAAAAUAAGUGAAAAUUUUAUAAAUAAGAUUGUACUUUUAAACCCUACUCACUAUCUUAUCCCUCCAGUGUUUGUUCAAAGAAGUAACUCAGUUUUUGAAAUUUAGUUAAAACCUUAUUCCUUUGGGUGCAGUAACUCCUAGCAUAAGCUGAAAAAAUAUCCAAAUAGACCGAAAACAUCCAAGAAGAUAAUGACUUUGGUCCCUUGGCACAGUGCUUUGUUACUUUUCUUUCCCAGCAAUCUGAGCACUAGAAAGCACCCCCUUCCUCCUCCAGGGCACUAUAGGAAAGAAGAAUGUAUAAGAGAUUUGAAAAAGUCCUCUGGAUACCAUUAUCCCUACUGACUGUCGUUAGAGGAGAAGUUUUAGGACUUUUACAUCCAUCUGUAAAUAUCAGCAUCAUCUCUGCUCAUGGUUUGGACUCCAACCCUUGUAUUCAGAUGGUAAACUUUUCAGGAUUAAAAAAAAAAGAAGAAAUUCUAAUGCUAUGGGUUGUUUCAAGAUGUUCCUGAAACAUCUUUUUUCUGUUACCAAUAGAGGCCAAGACGCAGCAUUGAUUCCUAGGAAGACAAAAUCGUACAGGAACAAGAAGGGUCAGUCACAUGGUUAAAAUGCAAAAGGGAUUAUUAGAAUCAUAUUAGAUACUUGAGGUGUCUUGACCCGGUUUAGGAAGGGGAAUUGUAGCACCACUUUGGAUUUUAUGGACGGUAACAUCUCUGCAUGUCUUUACCACCACUUCUGAGAACCUCGUUUCCCCCUUCUUCAGACAGUAUACCUGACUUGCUUUAUGUACUUUAACCUUGCUCUUUUGAAAAACAAUUCAUGUAUUUGGACUUGUAAUUUUAGAUUAUGAAACCACCUAUACUACGCUGGUCUGCAUUUUUAAAAAUCUGAUUUUUAGAAUAACAUUUAGAACUCAUUUGUAUAUAUUUGGUCAGGAGAAAUUACAGAUAAGUAACAGAAUGAUUACGGAGCUUUAUGCUUCAUUAGCAGUGGUUUCCCUGAAAUUUCUCACCUUGUUCUUUGAUCUGUCACUUUACAUUUAUUCUAACGUCCUUCUAAAACAAUUUUUUUUUUUUUUUUUGCCUCAUCUUCAUACUCUGCUGCUGGGUUCCCUUGAAAAUUUAUAGUACAGAGGGCUCUGAUCUUAUCAGGGAAGAUUUUCUAAUUAAACCAUUGGCUGAAAUAGGAAGGUGUCCCUUCGUGGUAAAUAUAGAUUUCUGAAAACGUUUUAUAUUUAUUUGCUUCAAUAGAGAAAUGCAAUUAUAUCUUUAGCAUUGCACAGAUUACCUACUGAUUGCAUCUAGUGUUUAUGAAAGCAAAUUAUUUAUCUUGAGCAGUAACCGAAAACAGAGUGAGAUAUAAUAGUGGGCAGUGAUUGAAGCAGUAUUUCCCUGGUGAUCAAAUUGGUGGUUUCUUUUUUCUUCCUGUUAUGAGGCAUAGAUUGUGAAAUAUGUUUUUAAAAAAUAGCAACUUAGUUGAUGCAGUUUUGUUUAAUAGAUUAUGGUUCAGAGAAGAUCAUUUCUGAGCUUGAGAGUAAUCAAGGUAGGGGUGCCUGGGUGGCUCAGUCGGUUAAGUGACCGACUUCGGCUCAGGUCAUGAUCUCACGGUUCAUGGGUUUGAGCCCCGCGUUGGGCUCUGCGCUGACAACUCAGAGCCUGGAGCCUGCUUCAGAUUCUGUGUCUCCCUCUCUCUCUGCCCCUCCCCCAUUCGUGCUGUGUUUCUCUCUGUCUCUCAAAACUGAAUAAACGCUAAAAAAAAAAAAUUUUUUAAAAGAGUAAUCAGAACACUGCAACUUUGACAAUCUAGCUCUCCUUUGAAUCAGAGAGCAAUGUUUUACACACAUUUUGUGAUUUCUGUAACCUGUACCCUCCACUAGGUUGAAGCCUCAUGAGAGCAAGGACUGUUUUUCUCGUAUUCGUCACUGUGUUUCCAGUGCCUGCCUGUCUGGCCCAUGUUGACUACUGAAUAAAUAUUUGAUGAAUAAAUAAACGAUUCAGUUAAAUAAUUUAUUCAGAAGCUAAAUUUAUUUAGUAGGUGCUUGCCUAAUGAAAGCCUGGCCCCUAUUGCUAAUGUAUGUAGUCCAUGUUUUCUUCACAUGGAGGAUGUUUGUGUCACAUGUGUUGUCACUAAGGAUUAAUUUAAGGAUAUGUCGGGGAAAAAAGAGCUAAUAAUUCUAAAGAAUGCAUUCUGUAGAAAUGUGGUCACAGCCAUUUUGAAAACUUCCUAAAUUAUUUAACCUAUGAACGUGACAAGCACACGUUUGAGAAUAUUCAUCAGCAGACGCCUGGACACAUGGCGGGCUGAGUUCUGGGAUCUGGGGCACAGCAAGGGAAAAGGACCGAGAAAAAUCCCUCUCUUCGGUUUCAGUGGGCGGAGACAGGCAGUGCACUUGUAAACUGAAAAAUGAAGUUCCAGACAGGGCUUAGUGCCCCGAGCACUGAGAUGAGUCCCCAAGGUCGGACCGUGAGGUGGAGUGACCUUUUUUACAUUAUCUCCUUAACUUCCCCUUCGAACGUGGCUGACAUUUUUGGGACUUCAUGAAGACUUCUUUGAUGUGGUGUGAUAAAUAGAUCAACCAUGAUACACAGUGUGACUAAACACAACAGUCUAGCACCCUUCGCAACACGUGGCAACGAGUGGUUUAGAGGAUUCCUAGAAAAAUAUAAAACUUAAUGGAAAACAGGACUUUUCUUGAGCAUUUAUGACUGCCAAGUUCACAGUAACUUCUGUAUUAGAAUGUAAUGCUUUUUCAGAUAAAACUACCGCUUCUAUUCUUAGAGGCUGCAAAUAUCCCUUUCAUUUGUACUAAAAAAUGAAAUGUACUAGAUGAAAAUUUACAUGAUGUACUGGUGAUUUCAUGGUUUAAAAUUCCAGUAGUUUCCUGUUUUACUGUUUGCUUAAGAAUAUUUGCAGCCUGUCAGCUCAUCCACUAAGACCUGACACUUUUUGAGCAUUUACUAAGUUCCAGGUCCCCUUGCUUAGUUAAAGGGCCUAUAAAGUGGAGUACACGAAAUGAUCCAUUGGGUGAGAGAGUGUUACAACUUCUGUUACUAGUUAUAUUUGAUCUCAACUUUUUUAUAAUUUCUCUUUACUCUGCAAAGUACAGAAUUUAUUGAUAUUAACAGAGUUUGUUAGACAAAAACAGAACAAUGUCCUAGGUAAGCACUCAACAUUUUUUCCUAACAUACUACUCAAAAAAAAAAAAAGUUUUGAGAUCAUUUCUCAGAAAGAUCCUAUUCAGUCUGUAUUAAUUGGCCUUACCUUGCUGAUUUAGAAAUUCUUAGGAAAGUUACUUGCUGAGGGAUACAUAUCCAGUGGUUGGCGGAGCAGGGAUUCAAAUCCCAGUUCGGUCUUAAUUCCAAAUCCCAUGUUAAUAAACCAUAUGUUAUUCUGUAGGUGUGGUUUAGAAGAAAGCAAGAAUGUAUGUAAAAUAUGGUAAACUUGAAAAAUAAAACGUAACCAAGCGUGUAGCUUCCAGAUCAGCACUUGAGAGGCAUGGCAUUGUUAGGACAUGUCCCCGUAGUAAACGAGAUAACCUCUGUGCAUCAUUUUCCUUAAAAAUGAAGGUAGAAAUUUGUGUUUCAUGAUUUUCCCUCAACUCAUCUUGGGAAUCGUAUUUAAAGUACUUAAGGUUUUCUUAGUACUCUUUCUCUGUUUACAUGCUUCUCCUUUUUGGCCUGAUAGAUCUCUUACGACGAGCCUUUUGCGGUAGGCUUUCCACACUGCGUAUUGCUGCCUUCUCGCCCAGAGAAGAUGGCUGUUGUUUUUGCAGGCUACACCCAAUCGCCUCUCAAAUCCUGAUUCCUUUCAGCUGGGUGUGUGAAUUCUGACCUUAUUUGGCAAGCCCUUGGCCGCAUGAGAGCUCAAAUAUGAUUUCCGUGGUUCACAAAGCACUAAGUUAAAAUCUACUUCUUGGCCUUGGAAAAAUUAACCAGUUGCACGAUUUCUCCAGAAGCAGGCAAGUGAGCCAUUCCAGUGACUUAAUGCUCUUUGUCCUAGCGUUCUGUAGCCCCACUUACACUGGAAGGAAAGAAGUAUGAGAUUCUCCUUUUUAAAAUAAAACCCCAUUGUUGUAUGCUAAACGAGGUUGAGAAGAAAAACUACAAGAGUGAAUGUUGACCAGUGGAAUGCAGAACAGAGAGGACGCUGGCAACCUGUGUGAGCCAGCAUUAUAAAAUGACUAAGAAUCACAUACCCACCAGCACAUCCGUAUUCCAGGAUUGCCAUAUUUUCAAGCUGAAAAGAAUGAGGACUGCCAUAGCCUCUUAACUGGUCUUAAGGCCUCUAUUUUUCCUAAUCCAUCCCUAGUUGGCCACCAGUACACUUUCUGGAAUGUAAAUCUGAUCCUGUUCCUCUUCUAAAACUCUUCUCCAAAUAACCUUUGCCUUUGGAACCCUGCACAUAACACCCAGACCCUUCCAUUUCCAUUCCCUACCAGCUUUUCCAGCCCCAUCUUUUUCCUAACUUACUACUCAGAGUUUGAGACUACUGAUCCAAUUUCAUCCUUAGAACAAUCCUACUAAAUUAGUAGUCUGUAAAUCACUACCACACCUCGCUUCACAUAUUAUUUCCAUAUUGUCUGAAUGGCAACGUCUCAAGUACAAUAUGCUUUUGCAUACUUUCUGCCUUUGCACAUGUGAUUUCUUCUGUUUAGAAUUCCUUUGCCCAUCCUUCCCCCACCCUGGCUCAGCCUUAAUUCCUCAUUUAAGGUCAAGUGUUAACUCAUGUGGGAUUGGGUUUUUGAGCCACCCAGACUAAAGAAGGUAUCUCUUCCCCAUGUGUCUCUUUUGUACCUGCAGAAAAUGUUUUGUUUACUUUUAAGGUAGCAUAUAGCAUAUGUAAUAUGAUCAUUUGGGGAGAACACUUUUUCUCUGACGGUAGCCCUGUAUUACAGUUAAGAGAUUUUUGUCUGCAGUUUGGGAUUGCAAGAAGAGAGAAUUGGGACCAGAGGAUCUGAGGUCAGGCUAAGAAAGAAUGGUCAGAUUUGGACAAGGAAAUAUCCAGAGCAGUCAGUCAGGGUGGAACCCAGUGCAGAAAUGGGCUGCUCACAGCAUUCUACACCAGGGGUCUGCAAACUCCAGCACAAGGGCCAAAUGCACCCACUGCCUAGCUCUGUAAAUCAAGUUUUAUUGGAACCCAGCUACACCCACUUGGUUACACAUGGUCUUUGGCUGUUUUCAUGCCACGACAGAAUUGAGCAGUUGCAGCAAGCCCCAAACCCUACAAUAUUUACCCUCUGUCCCUUCACAGAAAAAUGUUGUCAAGCUUGCUCUAAAAAAGCAGUUGUUGUAGUGAGGUCCUCAAACCCAGAGCAUGUUACCAUUGCACAUUCCCAGGCUUCACCUCAGACCUACUCGAUGAGAAAUCUGUGUGUAAUAAGCCCUUCAGGUGACUCUGAAAACCACCACUCUAGAUUCCUGGCCCCAUGGCUAAUUACUCGGGGCUUGAUGAUAGCCAGGCAGCCGGGGUCUAGGAGAAACAGAUACCAGUAAAAGGAAAGGAGGUACAAUGAGAAAACAAGAUGAGGGGGAAUCCAAAGAAGAAUCUCUAAGGGUACAUUCUAAAAUAAAAAUUUCCUGCAGAAGGAACCCACUGUUGUAUCCCACCCUCUUGCCCAGAAGUACCUGCCCAGAGUAUGUCUGUGAAAGAAUGAGGGCAGGUGUGUGGGUGUGCUUGGAGAGGAGCCAGUCCCAAAAUGGGAUUCCGGAGCCUUCCAGUGGAAACAAAUAGGUACCCUUAGCAGGAGUGGCUCUGGACCGAGUCUGAAACCCAUUCAGAGAAACAAAGUUAUUACCAAAGACCGAAGAACAGAUACAAAUGUUUAUUUUAUUUUUUUUUUUUCUUCAACGUUUAUUUAUUUUUGGGACAGAGAGAGACAGAGCAUGAACGGGCGGGGGCAGAGAGAGAGGGAGACACAGAAUCGGAAACAGGCUCCAGGCUCUGAGCCAUCAGCCCAGAGCCCGACGCGGGGCUCGAACUCACGGACCGCGAGAUCGUGACCUGGCUGAAGUCGGACGCUUAACCGACUGCGCCACCCAGGCGCCCCAGAUACAAAUGUUUAAAAACCUAAUGAUUUGAAUAAAAUCCUAACUCCUUUAAUCUCAGUUUUACUUCUUGUUCGCUGCCUUUGGGUAUUUAUUGAUUCCUGGGACUUUGUUCGUACCGACGUAGCUCAACUGUACCUCUGUUUGACCCUAAUUUGCUCAACCUCCCCAAAGCUAUUAACUGAAUUAAUAAAUGUAAAGCACUUAGCAGUGUCUGGUACAUUCUUUCUAGUAAGGAAAUAUUUCAUCUUCCUGGUCACAAUCUUAUUUCAUACUGAAAUAUAGGUUAUUCUAGUAUUUAUCUAUAUUUACUCUAGGAGGAAAACUUUGCUUACCAGCAUUCUGUCUUUGUCUUUAAAGAAGCUUCCGCCAAAUAGUCCAUGUUGUAAUCUGAAGCCUAAAUUGUUUUUUGAGUUUGAUUAUUAAACUUUUUAUCAUUUAGGAACAUUAUCACAAACUUUUUAAAAAUACAAAGAAAUCUAAGUACUAACCAAACAUUUGCACAUGGUAAUAAGUCAUUCUGAGGUUCUGUUAUUUGGCAAAAUAUACAAUGAAUGGGAAAAACAUAAUUUCUAAAUCCAUCAUGAUACAUUUUACCAUACAGGUUUUAAGUACUCUGCAUGAAGGCUUUUAUCUUGACUAGGGUUGAAAUUUUACAAUUAUGUGCCUUUUAAAAUUCCGCCUACUUUAUGAACAUCUGAAAGAGAAAAUAAGAUUGUGGAGGGCUUUACUGGGUGAAUAAAUAUUAUUUCAUGAUUUUUCAGUGAUAAUUAAAUCUACAUUAUGUCAAAGAGUCCUCAACCUGAAACCUUUAUAACUUUUGGCAUAGUGACAUUUUGAAAGUAAAAUUAGUGUUGGACUUUUUUUUUUAAUUCCAUAAAUGCCAGGGGAAUUUUAUCAUGUUUCAACACUUGCUGAAUAUGUAAUUCCCAUAGUGCACAUUAGUGGCCAUCUGUGUAAGGUAAUACAUGUUUGGGAUGAAAUUGAUUACGGCUUAAACACUCCUGUGUUAUGAUCAGGAAAAGCACGCAAAGUUCACAUCUUUUUUUCUAGUGGUCAUUAUGUAGCUAAAGAUAUUAAUUUCCAGGGGCAAACAGCCUAUCACUCAAGAUCUUAAUCUCACAAUAAAUGACACCAGGGCCAAAGGAAAGGAGGCUAUGGGGCCUUCCACUAAAAUUAGUUAACACUGUGCUCCAGGAGCUCUUAGGAUAAAAGAAAAAGUAACAGGCUUGGGGACACGGUUUUUCUUUUGUAGGCUUCAGGGUAGACCCACUGCAAUUUUGCUGCAUAUUCAGAACUGUUUCAUUACCCUUUUGAGAAAAUCCUGUUAUUAGAGCCACCAACACACCCCAGGUUAGCCUGCUUGUAAUUUUUCUUCGCAUGCUCAUUGCUGGCCCUGCCUCUUUAGUCCUUUAUAUUAUUUUUGCCUGGUUUAAAGAAUGUCUCCUUUUCAUCUGUGCAAAAUCAGAUGCUUUCCUUCCUUCAAAUAUGGCUUCAAUGUGAUCUCACCCAUGCAGUUAUUUUGUUUUUAUUAGAUUCGUGCAUGGUAAUGUAUGCCUGUAGACUUCUUGAGCUCGUUUCUCCCCUUGGAGCUACAAGAUACACAAAUACACUUGUUUAUGUAUUUCUAAUGAAUGCGUUCACAUCUUGACUCUCCCAUUAUCUAGUUACCUCAGGGUUUUGUGAGACAUUACCAGAAAAUAAUUUUUUAGUUUAGAAAAUUUUAAGAGCUCGUAUUACUGAACUGUCCCCCACGAUCGUUAGAAAAAAUCUUAUCAUGCUUUCUGUGGAUUAUUUGACAUUUGAACACAGGUAUAUUCUGAUCUUCCCUGGGAUGUGGGCCAGGAUGAUUUAGCUGCAGAUGCCCCGAAAGUAGCUGAAAGAAUGGAUAGAGUCAUUGUCUAAACGUUGAAAUAUAGCCAUUGUGAUGUUGGCAUAGUUGAUGCUGAACUGUACUUCCUUUGUGUUCUUGAACUUCUUGAUGAUAAUUAUUCAUCAGGUUAUGAUAGAUUUCAAAUCUGCUUCCCAUUAAAGAUAAUAAAAUAAUACUAUCUCUUUAAAGAAGGGAAUUUGCCUUCCUGUCUUACAUAUUAUAAACUAAGAAGUCAUGCGCCAAGAGUAUCUAAUAGCUGUAUAAUGUAUUUGGAAUAUAUUGAAAAGAAUGUAGUCUAGACUGCAACAGUACUGGAUAAUAUCUAGAUUUCGGAAUCUUUCUUAACUUUUUUUUUGUCAUUCACUCAGCAAACACUGAAUGCUGACUGCCAGUGUUCCAGAGAUACAGUGUAAAGGUGAACAAGAUGUGGUGCCUCCUCUCGAACAAAACUAUGGGUCGUACAUUGAAACAGUUAAUCUGAAUAUGGUACAUUGAAAUGAGUAAAGACGAGCAAAGUUCUGUCAGAGCACCGUAGAGGAGAAGACUUGUGUUAGAAGUACGGCUUCAAGGAAGCAGUUAACUUUUGAGACUGGCCUUGCAGGAUGAGCUGGGUUUCCCCAGGCAAAGCAGUGGAGGAUGUGUGUGCCUCUGUAUACGUACAUGCACACAAAGACACAUGCACGUAUACAUACACACCUGUGCACAUGCACGCCCAGCUAUAUUUAAGCAUUGUGGCAAAGACUGUUGGCUGGCUAAUUUAACACUCGUUCCCAUCCUUUUCUGUCUUGUCAUCCCACUAUCGAGGCUGGAAAAGCUCAGUACUGAUAGUGAAGCAUGGCCAUGGAAAUAUAAAUAAACAAAAAUGGCCAUGUUUGGAAAUCUGCUAGGGACUUUUAGAAACACUUUUGCUUUCAAGUAAGAGAUGGAUACAGUUGCCAUUGCCCCCUUAUUCUUGUCUUCAGUUGUGGCAGUGAUAAUUAUAGCUGUGGCAGCCACCUUGAGACAUUGAGAAAGUCUUGGAAAGUGACUUGAACUAUCAGUCUAAUGCCUGUAACUGGCUAUCCCAAUACUACUUAGGGAAGGAAAACCAAAUCUUCAUUUAAGCCAUUGUUAGACUUUUUCUAUUAUAGCCAGAAGCAUUCCUAAGUAAUAUACCCAUAAGCCCUCUCUCACUCACUCAUGUUUGCUUACAUAUAUUUUAACCUUAUUUCUUUCCCAUGCCUACCAAGACUUAGGACUAAUUUUAAACUUACACUUUGGUAAAUAGUAAGCAGAACUUAAUGUUAGGAGAAAGAAGAUGGAAUGCUUUCUUUGUUAUUACCAGUUUAGACACUAUCCUUAGCACUUCAUUUCCCUUAUAUCUAUACUGUCCCUGUCUGGUGUUUUAAAAUAAAAAUGAAGGCAAGAAGGGAGAAACAGCUUGAAAAGAAAGAUAAAUGUUGAUGUAGAGGAUCAUCCUGGUGGUUAGGUUACAGGGAAAAUCCAAGAAUCAGUUGAUUGUGGCUUAGUUUGUCAGUUUGCAUUCUUAUGUAUUUAGGACCAAGAACCAUCCCCUGUACCUCUGUAGUGAGCCAGGUUUCCCUAACAACCAAAGAGUUGUUCUCAUUGUUCCUCUAUUUAGGAAGAUGAGAGUAGAAACCAUUCUUCUUUCUGAGUGAUUAGAAGAGCUUUCUGCAGAACAUAUUAUGUUCGGUCUUGUAUGAAACAUACCAACUAGUGAGCAAGCAAUCUUUAAUGGACUCUGGCCUUCCACAGCACAAAUAUGGAGUAAUGUGAUAAUUACCCAACCUAUUCUUUCUUACAGAGACUGAUGCUGUUUCUUGGUUUAUUUCUCUCUUCCUCAGCAUUUCUAAUUGUCUGCUAUGUGUACGUUUUCUGACACUGCAUCAAAUUAUAAUUUAAUUGCAUAAGCAUUUAUUUUUUCAUAAGCAUUUAUUCCUACUCUUUUUCAAACAGAUCGUGAACAUUGCUUCUUUGCUGUGUUGAUCUUCCAUAGUUUUUGUUGUUGUUUUUUUGCAGCUGCCUGCUCGUCUUUAACUCCCUUUUGAUUUCUCCCUUGUGUGUGGCUUUUUGUUUCAUUUUUUGUUUUUGUAAGAAUCGGUUGCCUACCUUAGGAGUAAGGUAAUAUAGGUAUCUUCAGUUUCAUGUCAAAGUACUGGAUUAAAGUCAGGGAUCCUUAAGAGAAAACUCAGUGGGAUACUUGCAAUUUACAUCAAAGUCUACAUAUUACCAUUAUUCUCUGAAAACAUAUACAUACUUUAGUUCUUAAAGAAUCUAAAUGGGUUUUCUUCUUAAAAUUUUUGCCACUCAUUUUCUCUAGAAUCUUCAGCUACUUGGAGCUACAGCCAUUGAGGAUAAAUUACAAGAUCAAGUGCCUGAAACCAUAGAAACUCUCAUGAAAGCAGACAUCAAGAUCUGGAUCCUUACAGGGGACAAACAAGAAACUGCCAUUAACAUUGGUAAUUAACCUAAUUCAACCUUUAAAUCGUAAUGCUUUUUAACAGUUUGACAUAUUUUAGAAGAUAAAUUUGAGAUAUUUCAAGAUUUGAAAGAUUUGGUUUUGUAAGAUUUCCAUAUUUAUAAUAUUGUUGGGCUUAUCUGUUCAUUUAUGGUCCCAAUGUCCCUUUAAAUUUGCAGUGGUUGUAUAUACCUGCAAACCUCAGCUCUUGCAAUCACAAAGUAACCCUCUCUCACCUUUCUAUCUCUGCCUCCCCCCACCUUCCAUCCAUAAUUGACACAUGUAGAUAACAUGUCCGCAGUUGUCUGUGAAAGUCUGGAGAUAGGGACUGUGGCAGACUCGUGUAUCGGCACUUGUUUAUGUGACCAAAGGUUAUUUCUGAGAUGGGAGGUAAUGUUGCCAGCUUUCAUUCAUCCUGCAAUCGUGUCAUUUUUCACAGAGAUUUUAUUAGUCAGCUCAUGUCGCCAUAACAAAAUACCACGAUUGGGUGGGUUAAACAACAGGAAUUUAUUUCCUCGCCGUUCUGGAAGCUGGAAAGUCCAAGAUUGUCUGCAGGUUUGGUUUCUCCCGAAGCAUCUCUUCCUGGCUUGCAGAUGGCCGCCUCCCUACCGUGUCCUCAGCUGGCUCUCUUCUGCGGGUACACACUCGUGGUGUCUCUUUCUCGUCUUAUAAGCACACAAGUCCUAUUGGAUCAUGAACCUGCCCUUCUGACCUCGUUUAACUCAAUCUUCUGGAAGACCCAAUCUCCAAACAUUAUGGGUUCAGGUUCCAACAUGUAAAACUAAGGAGACACAACCCUGUGCAUAACAGAGGUCUUACUGAGAAGAAAGUUGGUAUUUGGUUUAAGGCCCGUAUACUAGUAAUAUGCAAGGAAAUGUCACUCUUUUUUUUUUUUUCUUCCAAAUUCGGUAAUAAUAGUUUGCCUGAGCACUGUAAUCCCUGACAUAGAUUCAACCUCUGGAUAUAAAUCCUAUGAAUUACAUCCAAAACUCUACCAAAGUGGAAGAAACCAUUCAAAGGUAUUGACAGCAUGAAAUCACAUUUUUAGAAAGUCUGUAUCAAGUAUCAUUAUUUAAGAAACAUUUCGCUAGUACUCCUUUUAGAAAUUUUAGUAAUCGCAGCAUUCUGUAAAUAUAAAACUACAACAGAGGGGCGCCUGGGUGGCUCAGUCGGUUGAGUAUCUGACUUCGGCUCUGGUCACGAUCUCGCGGUUUGUGGGUUCGAGCCCUGUGUCAGGCUCUAUGCUGACAGCUCGGAGCCUGGAGUCUGCUUCGGAUCCUGUGUCUCUGUCUCUCUCUGCCCCUCCCCCACUCGUGCUCUGUCUCUCUCUGUCUAUCAAAAAUAAAAAAGAAAAUGUAAAAAAAAAACAAAAAACUACAACAGAUUUAUAGCAAAUUGCUGGAGGUAGAGGACAAUUAAUUUUUAAAAGAUGCUAGUAUAAGUGUAAAUCCAUAAGCCAAACAAAUGGUUAAUUUUGAUUACAAAAAGUAUCACUGGUGUUAGACACAAAUGGAAAGAUGAUGUACAAGAAUACUUUAGAGUUCGGACACCUGAAAAACAGAAAUAGGCUGAACAAAAAGCAUGAUGACAGCUAGAGGAAGACUGUAGGGUGGCAAAGAGUGAUAUGUGAGGAAAAUAAGUGCUGCUGAGAACAAUUGAGGGACGGAGCCAUUAUGACAGUUCCUAUGAAGAGUAUGGAGGUGGCGUUUGGUAACAUUUAACUUCUGGAGUCUUGGGCCAUAAUCUUUAGGGUCUUUUUCCUAGGAUAAAGUAGGUGAGAUCCAUUCAUUUCAUUCAUACAGCAAAUGGGCAUUACACAGAAGGAUUCAGUUUUAAAUCAGGAGGUCAGGAAGAACUCACUGAGAGGAUGACCUUUGAGAAAUGACCUAAGAGAGGAAAGGGAGCUUGUCGUUGGAUGAUUAGGGAAAGCUGUCUUCUGUUCUAAAAAGAGCAGAAAUGCAAAGCGGGGAGCAGGAGAGCAGGUCAGCCACAUGACAGGGCCUCCCAGAUUGCUGUAAAGGCCUUGCAUUUACUCCGAGUGAGAUGGGAAGCCACUGGACGGUUCUGAGCAGAGGAAAGAUGUGGACCGACUUUCCUGCAAGAACGGUCAGUCUGGCCACUAGGCUGGCUGAGAAUGAGCUGGGAGGGAAGCAGGUGUGGAAGCAGGGAGACCAGUGAAGAGGCUGUUAUAUCAAUCCAGGUGAGGCAUGUUGGUUACUUGGACCUGGAUGGUAAAGUGAAAGUGGUGAGUAAUGGCUGGAAUAUGUAUAUAUUUUAAAGGUAGAGCCCACAGGAUUGACUAAUUGAUUAGAUAGGAGGUAUGAGAGAAAGAACGGACUGGAGCAUAAUUCCAAGGCAUCGUAGCUGCUGUGAUUGAAGGAUUGAAUUGCCAUUAACCAAAAUAAGGAAGACCGAGGGGAAGCAGGUUUUCUGGGAGGAGAUCAAGAAUCCAGUUUUGAGAUAUGUUAAGUUUGAGAUGCCUGUUUUACACCUAAGUGUCUGCUCUUACAUAGGCACUGGGAUAUGAGAGUCUGGAGUUCAGGAAAGAGCUCUAAGUAGGAGAUAUGAGUUCCAGAAUGGUCACUGUUUUGAUGGUAUUUAAAACCAUUGUAUCUGGGCACCUGGGUGGCUCAGUCAGUUGAGUGUCUGACUCUUAAUUUCGGCUCAGGUCAUGAUCUCACGGUUCAUGAGUUCAAGCCCCACAUCAGGCUCUGCACUGACAGUGCAGUGUGGAGCCUACUUGGAAUUCAUUCUCUCUCUCUCUCUCUCUCUCUCUCUCUCUCUCUCUCUCUCUCUCUCCCCUCUGCCUGCACACUCUCUCUCUCUGUCUCUCUCUCUCUCUCUCAAAAUAAAAAAUAAACAUUUAAAAAUAUAUAUAUAUCGAAAGAGAUCACAAAAGGAGUAAGGUAGAUGAUACUAUUUUAAAUGUGAUGGUAAUAUUUUAAACACCAGCCAGCCGAGUUGCUUGUUUUUCUCCAGCCAAGUUCAGCUGUACACAAAUGGGUUCUGAGUAGGCAGUGUCAGUUUAACCAGCAGGUGAUUUUGCCCUGCUGCAAGUACAGCAAAGCGAGGAAAGGCAGGACGGUAGAGGAUAUGACAGUAGUCCAAGGGCAGGGGGACAGUGGUGGGAUCCACGGUCCACAAGAUAGCCAGACAACCUUUAGCACCCUUCUCCAAAAACAGCCAUCUCCUCAUGUUGGUCAUCAUGAAGGAUGUUCCAUAUAAGUGUGGUGCUUUUCAGGACAUUGAGAGUCACUACCACGUUCUCUUUCCAUACUUGUUUCUCAAGACAGCUUUAACUUGCCAAAUAUUAUCCUUGUAGCCCUCCUAUAACAAGCAAGAGCAUUUCUUUUUUAACUUCUGCAAACCUGGAAAACAACUAUCACCGGUCCUAAUAAAAUAGAUAAAGCUUUAGUUUUGUCUAAUAAAAUAGAUUAAAAGUAAAUAAAAUUUGAUAUUUUUACAGUAUUAUCACUUUAACAUCUUCGCCACUGCUCUGUAGAGAAAUGAAUUAUAUCAAUUAAUCUACUCUAUGUUUGGACAUAGGACACUCCUGCAAACUUUUGAGGAAGAACAUGGGAAUGAUUGUUAUAAAUGAAGGCUCUCUUGAUGUAAGUAAAAUUAUCUUUUAAAAAAAAUUCCUUUAAUAACUUAACCAUCUUGUUAUAUUUUAUUUUAUAUUCAAAUAGCUGUAAAAAUAUUUGAUCUUCCUUAGGUUAAAAGAGAUUUAUUACUCUUGCUCUGCUGUAACAUAAUGCAUAUUGUUUUGAACCACAUUGUUGUAAAUAGAUCCCAGCUUUAUGUCCAUGACAGCUAAAAGAAGUUGCUAAAUGAUUUGCUUGAUGGUGUGAGACAAAACUUUUUCUGCUUUGCAGAAGCAUUAUGUCAGGAGGUUACUGAGUGACUGCAAUUUGUUCAUGUCUACCUGGGAAUUUUGUAUGUUAAACAUUUAAUAUCUUCUUUAGCUUCCAGUGUUAAUGUGUAUUUUGCUUCUCUUAAAAAAAAAUUAUCUGUGAAACCUAUUGGACAGCAUGAAAUCACCAUUCCUAAAAGGAAAGCCACGUUGUUUUUUUUAAUGUCCUAACUUCUGGGCUGAAAUAUAAAUUCCUUUUUUCAUGGCUGUGAUCACACAAAGUUAUAUUUGGGAAAGGGGGAAAGAUUUGUGAGGUGUACCGUGUAAAAUAGAAGUUAACCCAAAAAAAAUUUUUUUUAAAUAUGCAGGUCAAAUGACCUGUUAAGAAUUUUAAAGUAAAAAGGUGACUGUUUGUAACUUAAGGUGGAAGACAGAACAGGGGAGGUGACUAUACAACUGCUUGAAAUAGACAUUGUGACGCAAAGGGCAGAGAAAACCUGAUAAUUAAGGACGUGGGUGAAGCCGAGAGGCCAGGUAUGCAGAAAGGAUGGUGAAGAGGCAGACAUUUAGUAGAAGUCAGGUGGCAAACGGAAAUUACAGGUCAGAAGUAUUUGACUUCCGGUUUUUAAAUUGGAAUGACGAUCUCUUCAUUAUUUGUCCUCAAGACAAUCCUUGGGAUCCUUUUCCCUUUCUUGUGAAACUUUUGAGAAACUUGUAACCUAAAGAAUAAUACUUGAUUUUUAAACCAUGAAAGUUGGUCACAUCUUUAUUAAUAAGCACAUUGUGUGAACCACGCUUUAAUCCUAAAAACACCUAAAAUCCUAAAAUCCUAAAAACAACCAAAAAAAACAAAAAACAAAAAACAAAAAACACCUAGCCUGUGGUUGGAAGAAUGUCCUUUUUAUUUAUUCAUUCAGCAGGCCUCUGCUAGGCUCCGAGGACACACCACUGGGUAAGCACUCAGCAGACUCUGCCACUUAGGGCUCACAGUUGUCUCUGUUCCCCACCCGUCAUAUUAUUAAUUUUGGGUUUACUCAAGUUACAGUGUUAUGAAAAACCAGAACUAAGAUAGCCAUACCCUUCAAAAGCUUACAGAUAAUAAGGGAAGUAAAAUGCAUAUAAGUAACAGUACCAAACAGAUGCAUAGAUAAGGUGGAUAUAUUGCUAUGACACAAUUGUGAGGCUUGGAAGUGUUUAUAAAGUAAGCGACCCGUGAGUUAGAUGGAGAUGAGUGGUUGAGUAAUGGAGGAAUCCUUGAAUCAGAAAGUUAAUACAUGUAAGUUCAACGUAUAUUUGGGGGCAUAAAAGAGGAACACUGAACUUAAAAGGCUGUAAUUGUCUGAAGUAUUUUGUUUGAAUAAAUGCAGGUACAUAGGGUAAAAUCCAGGUUACAGAAAGGGACAGGUACAAGCGUUACAAACUGAGUCUCCCAUCCUUACACCCACGCUACCCAGUUUAUCUCCCUAGGAACAACCGCUGUUCCAGUUUCCAAGUGUUCAUCCCAAGAUACUCUGCCAUGUCUGAGGGAUAUUUGUGUAUAUCUAUGUGCACAUGCUUUGUUAUUGAACACAAAUUACAGCACACUAUCCAUGCUACUUUAUACCUUGCUUUUGUCUCUUAAUAUUAUCUUAGCAGUUGUUCUCCAAUAAUGUAUGUGAAGCUACCUAAUUCUUUUUAAAUGGUGACACAGUAUUCAUAAGGAAACGGCAAAGAAAUGACAGUGGGGGGUGACUGUCAUUAAAACUGGAAAGAUAGUCUCAGGUCAACUGUGGAAAGCUGGGCCAGGUUUGAGAAUUUGCCUCCACAGGUAAGGGAAGCAACUUCAUCAGCCCUUUAAGAGAGGUAUGAUGUGUCAAAGCAACCGACCAUAGACAAGUGUGGAAGGCUGGAGAGUCAUGGGGUGCAGGCAGCAGGCCAGGAUAAGAGUUAGGUAAGAGGGGAUGGGGUGCCAUUGCCAUCCAUGUUAUGGGAGAGAAAUUCAGGGAGACUUCUCCCAUGUGGUCCCUGGAGAAAGAGGAAGCCAUCACGAGUGGCUCCAGAACUGGGCCAUGGUUGUUCACAACAUUACAAGAGCCUCCAUGGAAGCAUUUUCCUAGUCCCUGUAGACGUGUAGGCCUUUGUCAGCAACAUGGGUUACAGGUAGUAGAUGGUUUUUCUGACACUUGAAAGAAGUCAGAGGUGAGACCUCUGACGUCAAAGCAAAAGCAUGUCAAGCCAUGCUUGACCUGUCACAUGAUCCUUUUUGUCUGGAUGUAAGCUUUCAUCUUACGUAGCUUACGACAGCAAUGCUUCUUGUUUUCAUCUCUUUCAUAAUUUUUCUCCAACUGGGAUGAGCACGUUCUUUUUGUGUUGCGGGUAUCGAGUGAUAGAACUAGUAAUCUCAAGAAUAAAAAAGUAAAGGGAAAUACCAAAGAUAGUCAGCGUGCUGCAUCAUGUAUUGUUAAGCCAAUGGCAUUUACUUGCAUUUUGGAGUUUUCAGAGUGGCAACCCUAAGACAUAACUGCCUCAAGGGGUACCUGCACUCCCUAUUUCUACUGGACCAAACAUAGCUAGGACUCUCAAGGGAAUACUCAAUUUCAGGAAAGCAGGUCUGUGUCUAUGUAUUUUGGUUUGCCAGCCUCUCUCAAUGCCCAGCAGACUGCCUACCCCAUAAGUACUCCAUAAACACUUGAGAAUUAAGUCACAGAGUAAUUUUCAAUUAAGGGUUUCCCUUUAAAAAAUAUAUAUUGUAUAUCAGUUUUAAAUUUGGCAGUAAUCGAUCUUACCUGGUAUUUUUAAAGUAAAGUAGUUAGAAAGGUUCUUAGCAAUUCAGGUGACAGUGUGGUGUGGAAGAUCGUAGGCAAACCCUGGCUGACGGAUUAGCACUCACUUAUCCAGCUCUGGACCGCCAUGCAUUCUCUCCCUGCUGGUAGGGGCAGGCUGUUCUCCCAGGGAGUUAAGUGGUGACUUUACAAAUCUGGCCUUGGGGUCAGACCCUCUCUGGUGCACUCAUUUGCUUCUCAGCAGGAAAGGACACAUCACUUUGCAUAGCUCCUUCAGGUCUUGUGUCCUAAAAUCCACAGCUGAGAUUUCAAGGAAAUCAUGAGAUGUGCUAGAACACCUGCAGAUAAAUCAUUAUUUAUUUUCCAUUGUCACGGAAAAGAAAAGCAUCCUGUGUGUUCACAUUGUACUGAUGAGGAUACACUAUGGGAUUCCCAUUCCAUCAGCACAAACAAAUAAUUAACAUUUAAGCAAUAAACUUAGUAGGAACGUAAUGUCUCAGGAAAUAAUACAACAGUAAAUAGAUUGUGGGUAUAUGUUUCAUCAAGUGGCAGUUUUAACGAACGCACUUAAAUUAUUCCAUUAAAUGUUACAGUUCUGCCCUAUUCUGAAUGUGGGACCCUGGGCAAAUUGAAAUUAGGUAACCGCUCUGAGCCAAUUUUGCUGCCUGCAAAGCAAGGAUAAUGUUACCGUUGGCACAGGACUGCCAUGAUUAGUACAGGGCAUGGCACGUACGAGAAAGAGAUAUUAUAAAAUUUUGUAGAAAAAUAUUAUUUCAGUAGCCUGCAAGUUGUUUUGCAUAAUGACCAUUUUUAUUAUGAAAGAUACAUUAUUCCCCCAUCUUUUCAUUUUUUUCCUAAGCAAGAUAUAAAUGUGGAUCUUCUUUUGCAGAAGUGAUACCUAGUGCUAUGAACUGUGCAAAUUUUAUACCAAGAUACUCCUAAUACUGUUAACAUUUUAAAGUUGAAUCUUCUUUUUCAACUUGUAUAAGUAAACUAUUAUAUUUGAGGUUCUUGAGUUUCCAAAUAGAAAAGACUUUUUCCUGGCAAUCACAGUAAAGGAAUUUUUUUGUCUUCCCAUAAUCUAGCGCAUGUCCAAAAAAAAAAAAAAAGUUAUUUGGAUUUCUAAUUUUCUCAUUUUGAGUUUCAGUACAGUUAUCUGUGUUGAAAAAUUAAUGGCCAUUCAGCAUUUUUAAAACCUUUAAGUAAAUAUAUAAAACCAAACCACAGUUGAAAAUACAGAAUGAAAGUCUUGCUCCACAGAUCUGAUAGGGAAAUCUGACGGGCUUUUCUGUAUCUGCCCAUUCCUGGCUUCCUUCAUGGCAAGAGCGGUCUCCCCUGACAGCAGCUGCCCGGAGCACAGCCGGGUGCUUGCACCCAGUUACCUACCAAGCUACCAUUUAACAUUGACAUUGUCAGCAAAAGAGUUUGUUAGGAACUUUGAUCAUGUUUUUCUCUUAGUUUAGAAAGUAAGAAUUUCAUGGGUCCACGCCAUUAAGAAUCCUCUGAAGUUGGGGGCUCCUGGGUGGCUCAGUCGGUUGGGCAACUGACUUCAGCUCAGGUCAUGAUCUCACAGCUCGUGAGUUCAAGCCCUGGGUCAGGCUCUGUGCUGACAGCUCGGAGCCUGGAUCCUAGUUCGGAUUCUUUGUCCCUCUCUCUGUCCCUCACCUGCUCACACACUGUCUCUGUCUCAAAAAUAAACUUAAAAAAAUUUUUUUUCUAAAGAAUCCUCUAAAGUUGAUCAAAAUCUAUUAGAUAUUUGUAAUAAAUUGAUCAUUUGGGUAAUAUACUUAUAUAAUUUUUUACUGUGCUACUUUGAAUCACUUUAUUAGAAGUUCUGACUGUGUUCGUGGUAUGAGACAUUUCUUUAAGGGUCUGCAAAGGCAGGAAUUUCAAAUUCCUGGCAUGAAGGGUAUAUUGUACUUCUUCUGUAAUUCCUUAGCAAUGCCCAGGAAAUAUGGACCAUUAUCAUAACCAUGAUUAUUAUUAUUUCUUUUAGCAUUAUUAUUCCCGGGGCUGGGGGGUGGGGGGCAGACAUCCCACUUCUCAGAAACCCCUUCCACUUAAUGACCUAGCUUGAAGGGAUUCUUCUAGCAUCGCUUUUAUAUCUUUAAUUUGUCAUGAUUUGUUCAAAGUCUGUCUGCUAAAACUGGAAAUGUCUAAAAAUGUGAGCUAAGAACUAGGGAAUCUCAAUUUGUCUUUAGCUCCCAGUAUCUAAUUAAGGCCUUUCAAAAUGUACAAAAAGCUCUCUACAUCCAGAUUCCACUGUUCUCAUCUGUCAAGUCUAGGGUGAAUGGGAGGGACCAUAAUUUCUUAAGCCAUUAACUCUAUAGGUGCCAGAACAAUCUUUCUGAGCCUCACAUAAUAUACCCUUAACCUUGAUCUCUCCUUCUUAUAGCAUUUCUUUUACGUGGACAGUUGUUGGAUGUGUCCUGGGAGGUAGGGCUGGAUCUUAAAUCCAUUUUCCUUUCUACUGUCUGGCUUCCUAGGAAACAAAAAAGAGCAGAGGAGAAAAGUAUUUACUAUAUAUUUAUUGAAUUAUCAGGAAUGAUGGUUAAAUAUGUAUGUAGAGAGCUUGGAGAAAUAAUUUCCUACACUCAUAGUCAAAAGGCUUCCAGUGUUUUCCAGUUGAACUCCCGAGAAUCCCUGCCAACCUGUCCUGGAGAUCACCCGGGCAGUUUUUCUAGGUAGUCUAUGCUGCUGUAGACAUUCACAUUCAGCCUGAUGAGGAGUCAGCACCAAGUAUAUGGGAAGUAGUGAAUGGAUCCCAAAGGAAAAUGCAGCUUUCUGACUUUUUGUGAAAAGAGAACCCUGCUACCCCUGCGGGAUAGUUCCAGUCCUAAGAAAAACGCUAGCUUAGGUUUAUGAAGCUUAUUUUUUGUACUAGGUACUGGAAUAAGGACUUUAUAGGAACAAUCACACUUAAACUUGACAACGUUAGUAGGCAGAUACCAUUAUGCCCAUUCUAAAAGUUCACCUUGACCUCCAGUGCUAAUUAGCAUUUGAGGAUGUAUCAAAGUACUUGGAUUCCGGAGUCUAAGCAAAUAGAUUUUUCUGGGCUUCAGCUGCCAGCUACUCUUAUAAAACAAAAAUAGUAAUAAUAUCCAUCUAUGGGGUACAUUGUGCGGAUUAAAUAAAACAGUACCUUUUAAAUACUUGUAAACAGCAACCAAGAUUUGGUAAGCACUUAAAAAUAUGGACCAUUAUCAUAACCAUAAUAAUUAUUAUUUCUUUUAGCAUGAUUAUUCCUGGGGCGUGGAGGGGGAGGGGCAUCUUCUUGCCAGCUGCUGUAAGAGGUGAUUUGAUUUGAUUUGAUUUUAAAAUAUUUAUUUAUUUUUGAGAGAAAGAGCAGGGGAGAGGUGAAGAGGAAGAGAGAAUCCCAAGCAGGCUUUGUGUUGUCAGCUCUGAGCCCCACUCAGGGCUUGAUCUCACCAACCAUGAGACAUGACCUGAGCCAAAAUCAAGAGUCAAACAUUUAACCAGCUGAACCACCCAGGUGCCCCCCUACCCAGCCCCUUAAGAGGUGAUUUUAAACAGCCGUCCUUCUCACUACUUAAACGUCUCUCCUUAAUUUGAACAUACGACUCCCAGGUUUGAUUAUGGAUACCAGUGUUUUUCCUCACUGAUAUAUUAUUGUACAGAAAAUGAAUUGUUAACCACAUUUGGUAUUAACAAGCCUAAGAAUAUAUAUUUUUCAACACCUUGGUAAAAUAAAGCCCUUUCUGGGAUUGCCUUUUUUUUUUUUUCCUAGCUGAAUUUGAUUUUCUAACACCGUGUAAGCCUCAAGUAUAACUUACAGGACAUUCAUGACAUAAAUGGUGAGGUUGUCAUCUGUAUCCUUUUAAGCUCGACUUCUAUGUAUUACGCAGACAAACCUCACUGUUUGGAGAACCAGCCACUGUUGAAUGGCCUCUGAAAGCAAUCCAGAAUAAGCAAGUUACUGACUUGACUCCAGAAAAGGAGGGGGGACAAAAGAGAAUUGGGGCUACUUCAGGUUUUGUCUUGAUGUGUCCCAUGAGUCCAAUACAAUACAUUUUGUAUUGCUUUGAAAACCAGUUUAGGCAGCUUUUAAACCACACUGAGUUUUCCUCCACUGCCAGCAUGGCGGCGUUAGUAUUGGGAAUUUUCUUUCACCAUUAGCAAAGCUGUUUCAGCUUUUGGGCCUGAAAAUUUUAAGAUCUUAGUUUAACUUUCAAGGUGUUAAUAUAUCCCUAUCAGAAGCAAAGUUACGUUUUUAUAGCGUCCCAUUGCAGGAUGAUUGUUGAAAUAGUGUCUGACACACCGCUUCCUCCAAAUAGCUCUCAGCGAAGAAAGCCAACUUUGUUACUUUUGAAAGAAAUGAGUUAGUAAAAAAUGUAAACAUUACAAAAAAUGAAAAGAGCAUAUGAACAAAUAAUCUGUUCUAUUUUCCCCUGAUUGAAGAUGCUGCCUGCCACAAGCCAAAGUGUGUGGUUGAAAAAGUUCCAUCAAACACAUUGUUUGGUCUCAUAAAAAUUAAAUGUGUCCCCUUUCCUUAAACAGAACUCCGUAAUCUUGGCUGCUGUGCAGAAUCCUCAGUGAAAUCGUUCACAAAUUCAUAGUAUUUCUGUCUUGAGAAAUUCUUCCUACCCGCAAGCCUGAAUAUGCUUUCUCUCUCUCCCUUUCUCUUUUUCUCUCUCUUUUCUUUUGGCUGAACAUCUGAACUCCUCCAAGAGUUCCCUGAGUCCUAGAAUUACAGAUAAAUGCUUUCUAACCCUUGUGUCCCUGCCACUCUCCCCACAGCUUGUUGACAUUUGUGAGGGUAGCAGGCCAUGCCUUGUGACUUUUUUUGCAUCUCCACCCACUUCUUUUGAUGAGUCAGUACAACCAUGCAAUUGACAGGUUAGAGGAAACCUACUAUGUGCCAGGUGUAUCUGCCUACAUUAGCUCUGCUGCUCUGUGCUGGCAGAAUUCGUCUCACAUACAGAGACUUUGAGUUCACACAGCUAGCAAGUGCAGAAUCCAGCACUUCGACCUAGACCGCUCUAAGUCCAAAACCAUUUUUUUCUUUUUCUUUUUUUAAAUUUUUAAUGUUUUUAUUCAUUUUUUAAAUUUUUUUUUCUUUUUUUUUUUUCAACGUUUUUAUUUAUUUUUGGGACAGAGAGAGACAGAGCAUGAACGGGGGAGGGGCAGAGAGAGAGGGAGACACAGAACCGGAAACAGGCUCCAGGCUCCGAGCCAUCAGCCCAGAGCCCGACGCGGGGCUCGAACUCACAGACUGCGAGAUCGUGACCUGGCUGAAGUCGGACGCUUAACCGACUGCGCCACCCAGGCGCCCCUGUUUUUAUUCAUUUUUGAGAGAGAGAGAGCAUGAGCGAGGGAGGGGCAGAGAGAGACAGAGACACAGAAUCUGAAGCAGGCUCCAGACUCUGAGCUGUCAGCACAGAACCUGACACAGGGCUCGAACUCGUGAACCAUGAGAUCAAGACCUGAGCCUAAGUGGGCUGCUUAACCGAGCCACCUUGGCACCCCUUUUCCUUUUGUUUUUAAAUAACCAUACCUUCUCCAGUGGCAGUGGAAACUCAGUCACAGGAGGAAGCAUUCUGGGAGGCAUCCCCCACGUUUUCUGCCUUGUCCCUCUACUUUGUUCCUACCUCCUUUCCCACUCACCACUAGGACUACAAAGCAGCUGAAAGACAGAUGCUCUUCUGGAAAACUGUGGCAUUUGGCCAUCUUGUAUUUAUGGAACUCGGGAAAGACUACAUUUCAUUGUACUCACACAAUGACUGUAUGGAAGACUUUAUUGAAUGUACCUAUGAAAUAAUGGAAAUGGUAUGGAUUUGGGGUUUGCACUGAGAAUAUACAGCAGAUAAUGAUUCUUCUGCAUUCCUACAUUAAUUAAUUCAAAUCAUUAGGAAAAUGGACCCAACAUUAGCUUUCUUUGUGGUUCUUUCUUUGUGGGGUAACAAUUUCUCACAGGCUUCCUGGUUGUUAACUUUCUCCAAACCAUUGAUUUGGUAAUUUGCAUAUUUCCCCCCCCCCAAAAAAAAGGCAGCUGUAUGUUCUGAGCAUCCUCUUCCUGGCUGAAUCGAAGGCAGUAUGAGAGACUGGAUGUCUGCCGACCGAGUUCCUCUAGAAUUCUGCCUUCUGUGUUUAAGUCACUGCCGCCACCAGAGAAUAUUUAAUACCAAGCUCAAAAUAAGUGUUUAGGAGGCUUUCAGUGGUGGUUUAAAAUAAUUACCAUGAGAACUUGGGUAAAAGCCUUUAUCCACAAAACUAUUUAAAUUAUAUAAUUAUAUCCCCUACCUCACUCUUCCUUCCUUUCUCUGGAUUUGUUUCUCUUUGCUGCGUGCCCAUACCCCAACACUGAACCGUAGCCUCAGACCCAGAUUCGACACUUCUCUGCCUCUCUCUCUCUAACAUACCCCAAGUGAGACUAGAUGCCUCAUAAGGAGUUAUUUGCCUGAUGGAACCGAUCAUAAUCCCACAUCCCAAACCUCUGCCCAGGGGCCAAGAGCAAUUUAUCCAGCGCCACAAUGUCCUCUUCUUACCUUCCAUUUUGUGACCCCUAACCUUUCUGAUGACGUGACCCUGCUGGGAGAUCGGACUGUUUCCUCAGUUACAGUGUUUUAUAUGUAUUCCCACCGUGGAAAACCCGUACCUGUGUAUCAGCAAAGCAUGGGAAUUUUUUGUGUGUCUCUUUCCCCUCUUCAUUAUAUUUAGCAAUAUGUAUUGAUUAAAUGCAUUCCCUUGGCUGCUUUCCACUAAGCGGUUUUGGAGGACCUCUUUGACCAUAUGUUUUUAAUGAUUUCACCUUCUGUCUGCCCUUAUCCACUUUGGAAAAAUGACUCUACAUUAGUUUGGUUCUAUACAAAUACGUUUUUUAGGGUUAUGUUCUCAUAUAGUCUGGGAGUUUAAAAGCACCAAAGCUUUUUAGUCAAAAACUAUGUCCAAGAAUGCUGGUGAUUCUACUGGAAUAAAUACUAAAUGAACCAAUUAUAUAUAAAUGUAGUUUCUCUGUACUCUCAGGCAUACAUUCUUUACAACUUACUGCUGCCAGCAGUAGCCAGUGGAAUAGUGGAUAUAUGUGUUAUACAGGCGUAUAUGGAAGGUCCAGUGUUCCACUGAAUCAAUAACACAUUGUCGAAAAAUAAGUAACACCCAGUGGUUUAUCCAUGUUGCUAUUAUGGGAGUCAUAACUCACUCUUUAAGAACUUGCUAACAUUGUCCAUACUUGAUAUGGUCAUAAUGUAUUAUUAAGAAUGUUCUUGGAAUGUUCUGUUAAUUUGUAAUUUGAGGGUGUGAACAUUUGGAAAGUGUAAAAGUAGAGAAAGAAUGAAAUGUUAUUUGACCAUAAAUUUGUAAAUACCUCAUGGCUUAAAUGAUGAUGAGGUGAGGCCACAAACCACAAAAACAGCUAAUAAAGUAUGUGUUAGUUUAAGAUUCUUAUAUAUAUAUUCUCUUAUUUGACAUUUUAAAUUAACUUCUAAUAGGUUUUAAAAGGUAGACCUUUAGCAAGUUAAAGUAAGGUUUUUUUCACCCCCCCCAGGAAAUAUUUAUUUUUCUGCUAUUAAAAAACAAAACAUAUCUAUAAAGUUAUGGUGUUAUAUCUUAAGAACAUGCCAGCAAAGCAAGGCCUCUGUGGGUUUUUUUUUUCCUUUUACAAAAAAUAUAUAUAUUUAUUGGGGGGGGGGGGAAUGAGAGGGGGAGGGGUAAGAGUGAGAAUCCAAAGCAGGUUCCACGCUAUCAGUGCAGAGCCCAAUGGAGGGCUCAGUCUCAUGAACCAUGAGAUCAUGAUGGGAGCCAAAAUCAAGAGUUAGACGCUUAACCAACUGAGCCACCCAGGCGCCCCAGCCUGUGUGUUUUCUUUAUCAUUAGCUAUUUUAAACCUAGUAUUUAUGAAGCUCAUUUGCAUGUUUAAUGCUAUUGCAUGUAACUUUACAUAUAUAUAAUUUUGCAUUCUUUAUGGGAGCUUAAAGUCUAACAUGUAUAUUGAUGUGGGCAUCUAUACACACACACACAGAAAAACACCAAGUCAGUUUAUAACUUUCAAGUUAUUUUCCACUCAAGAGUUCUAUCAGAUUGGGACAAAUUAAUUUGUUAAAGAAAAACAAUCUAGUUUAGUUAUAUAAAUAGUCAUCUUCCGGGGCACCUGGGUGGCUCAGUCAGUUAAGCGGCCAACUUCAGCUCAGGUCAUGAUCUCGCGGUCUGUGAGUUCGAACCCCGCGUCAGGCUCUGUGCUGACAGCUCAGAGCCUGGAGCCUGUUUCAGAUUCUGUGUCUCCCUCUCUCUCUGACCCUCCCCCGUUCAUGCUCUGUCUGUCUCUGUCUCAAAAAUAAAUAAAUGUUCAAAAAUAAAUAAAUAAAUAAAUAAAUAGUCAUCAUCCUACCUUAUAGCAAGAGCCAUAUGCUGUAUGUGAAGAUGUGAUGCUAACUUUUCUAGAGUUGAGGGCAAGACAGAUUUCCAGAUACUUUUCAUGUGGCAGAAGUGGCUGGUAGAGUUGAAUGUUAAGUGGAUUGAAAUAAAUUGCCAGUGGAAAAUUUCAAAAGGAAACUUACAAUUCUCCUCAUGAUACUAAUUGUGUUGUACUAAUAUUGUACAGUAUUUGACACUUUGAGAAUCCUUCUUUAUCAGAUGUUGGUACCUCCAUUAAACCUAAUGUCAGAGGAAGGGAAAGAACUAGUCUUUUUGGAUGUCAGCUAUGAGCCAAGCACUGGGUUGGGUGCUUGACUCACAAUUAAAGGAGCUAUUUUGUCCCUACCAUAACCCUACAAAACAGAUAUUAACCCAAUCUCAUGAAUGAGAAAAGUUUGAUUCCAAGAAGCAAAGUAACCUACGAAUAAAGAUAUCCAUAAAGGGCAGAACAGUGACAUUCUGAUACCAUAUUAUUGCCCUCUAGCUUCUGGAAUGUUAGUUCUUUACAACGUGGCUUCAUGAUCUUGCUUCAGAUGUGAUCAGUGCCCAGAAGUAUCUUGUGAACCCUCAUGGCCACCCUUGACUUUCUGACAAAAAGAGUCCGCUUUUUUAUAGCUGUGCAUUUGCACAUUGUAUACUGAUGCCUGCUUUCUCUGCAUCAGUUGGUGACUUUGCACAUCAGCUGACAAGUUUACAGUGGCCCAGCUUCCAGCAAAUUAUCUUGUUUUAGCAGAGUCGCCAUCCUUGUUCAGCAAGAUCCCUGCAGGUGUUUUCCUGUAGCGUUGGGUUGCAUUUUGCCCUUUUUAUGGGAAGCAAGUGAAAACAGAAACCUGUGGUGUUUCCACUAAACCAAGAAGUACAAGCUUCAUAAACUUCAGUCCAUCUGACAAGGGUGAGAGUUGUGUGUCUCCCAAGUGUGAUUCAUCAUUAGCCCCAAUCGUAUGCUUAUUUCACUUAACCGGUGAUGAACUCAUGAAGGAAAAGAAUAAAUCCAAGAACAAUGAAAUACAUUGUUAAAUACUGUGUCUGAAAGUCAACGUGUAAUUCAGAAUGUUGAUAUAUCAUUUUUUCCUUUCUGGGAAUAGAAUUCUCCUUAAAACAUAAGUUUAUCAUUUGACCUGCACAUACUUUAACAGAUUCCCAGGAAGAAAUAUAAAUGCCAAGUGUCUGUAGUCACCCAAACACCAACAUAUACUUUGUGAUAAAUAAAUAUACCUCUUUCCUUUAGCUUUUGCCAUUCUGGCUUGGCCUUGCUGAUGAUACCCUCUGGGAUGUAGGUGAGUGAUGAAACAUCACUUAUUGUCCCUGUAAGUAACCGUGGCCCUGGUGCACAGUGUGGAAGUCACCACCAUGAGGUCUGGCAUAUUGGAAUAUUUAUCUGUAAUCUUUACCUCAUCUCUGCUAGUGAGAUUUGGCCAACGAGUCUUCUAGUCAAAGGCUAAAGGCUUUUAUUUUCCUUUCCUUAGGGGUAUUUCCACAUUCUCUAUGAGGGUGUUCCUUGGAUAUAUUCCUAAGUAAGACUGUCUAUGUAUAAACCUCUGAAAAGAAUCAGGAAAAAAAACCAAAGACUAGAAAAAUGGCUGAAAAGAGCCAUUUUAUGCAGUUGCUUUCUACAACAUUACAUUUUAGGCCAUCAAAAACAGUUCUUAGGUGGCCUAGCAUGUUCUUUGCACAUCUGGCCUCUGGGUUCUUUAGACUGUUCCAAGCAGAGUUUUUGCCAAAAUGGAAGUGACAUCUUGCAUGCUAUGAUACUUUCCAAACAAAUCAGGGCUUUCAAUUUGUUUCACUGUAAAAUUGUGUCAGAUUUCAUUGUCUAGGCUCCCCUAUGUGGUUUUUAUCAAGGAGUUCCUUGGUAAAGGUCAUGUACAAGCACUGAAAAAGAUUGCCAUAAAGCUACAAGUCUCUGAUUUCUUAAAGUUUGUUGUUUUAUUUUGUUUUAUUUUGUUUUAUUUUAUUUUGUUUUGUUUUGUUUUGUUUUAUUGCAGGGUUUUAUAUGAACAUGUUACCUAUUUUUCCAGGCUAUCCCCUAAAGAUUGAAACAAAACUCCGUGAAAGCCUUCUGGUCAGAGUUAUCUUUAUUAGGAAUUCUACUGGCCUAAUUAUCUGCCAAACAUUUUUCUUUCUUUUUCUUUUCUAAGCAUAUUUCUUAGAAAGCAAAUAAAUAUUGUUUAUUUGGCCCACUGUUGCAUAACCUUGCUUGAUCAUGAAAUAGCUAGUCUAGGUGUUUAUUAUUUGUAUUAGACAAUUUAUAUUCUAUGAGACAGAAAGAGAUGUUAGAUCAUCACUACCACCUUGUUCUCCAUUUCCUCUAUAAGAAGAUAAGCACUUUGGGGCACCUGGGUGGCUCAGUCAGUUGAGCUUCUGACUUUGGCUCAGGUCAUGCUCUCACGGUUUAUAAGUUCAAGCCCCAUGUUGGGCUCUGUGCUGACCGCUGAGAGCCUGGAGCCUGCUUCAGAUUCUGCAUCUCCCCCUCGCUCUCUGCCCCUCCCCUGCUCACACCUCUGUCUCUUUCUGUCUCUCAGUAAUAAAUAAAAAGUUAAAAAAAAAUUACAAAAAAGUAAAAUCUUAAAAAAAAUAUCCAAGACAUUCUUGGAGUUUUAUAAAACACAGGAGUUGUAUACUCAACAAAAGCAAUCUUCAAAAUAGUCACACAAAAAAUAUUGUGACUUCCCACAAGGUAUUCUGCAAUCAUUAAUAAUUUGGUUAUUCUUUCAUUACAAAGCCUUUAUUUCUUUGUCAGAGGCCUCAGUCCCAAAAGGAAGAAGAGAUAAAUGACUAUACAUCGCGCUGUGUUGUAGAAGUAUAAACAAGUAUGUGGACAAUCCAAAAGAUAGUAGCACCCCUGUCACCUGGAGGAUUCAGGAGCAAUAGAGCCAUGGUCGUUUAUUCACUGUUUUUAGUUUGCAGUCCUAAAGGGAGAAAAACAGUGACAAUGGAGAGAAGGAAGAUGCAAGAGAAAAGUGGAGGGACCAGAGGCGAGAAAAAUUCAUUUCUUCCCCUGCCUCAAAAAUUAGCGAGAAAAAAGUAAAGGGAAGUUUUGAGGUUGAGGAAGGAAAGUUGAGGGAAUUCUUCCUGGUACAAACGUUCUCAGUAAAGCAGAUAGAUGUUGGCUGACGUGACGAGGGCCGAAUUUGGAAUCUUGGGAGAAGACAGGGUCUGGAGUAGCCUGUGGGAAAAUGGAAUCCAGUGGGCAUGGAUGAAAGCAUGGAUCAGUGGUAAUGAGCACCCAUGCAAGAGGAGAGAGCUGGAAUAGAGCCUGUCCUCGUAGUGAGGUGGUUUUUCCCUUCCAUGUUGUCAAGACUAAGAACCGAGGAGAGUGUUGGUUGUGGCCUAAACUGUGAAUUGGCGAGGCAGGAAAGCGUGGCAGGAGGUCCAGUGGCUAAGAGCUUCUAAAGAGCUCUUGGCUGUGUGCAGGGCUUAGGGGAGGGGGAGCUGAGCUGAAGGAUUGACUGGAGUGUCCAUAUGGGUAAGGGACACUUACCCAUAUGGGUAAGGGAAAGCACACAAAUCCUACUUUCCCUCCCUCACCAGUAUGGCUGCCGAGUAAGGUACCUGGACCCUUGCCUUGCCCCUCGCCUAUCUGUGUCCCCAAAUUGCCUUUACUUCACACCAGCCAUGGUUAUGGCAACACACACUCCUUUUCUUUCAGCCCACAAAUAAGACUGUGUAGACUAAGGAGAUAUUACAGAGCUUUCAUUUUGUUCUACUCUGUGGUCCUUUAUCCUUUUUCUGAUUUAGCUUCUCAUUUAUAUAUUUUCACUUUCACAUGUCACUAAGUUUAAAUGUUUAAACAUUUCCCCCUCCAGUAGCCAAAAAGAAAACAAAGCAACAGCUAAUAUACUAAUAAAUUUAUUUCUAGCUACAGGAGAUAAGCUUCAAUGCAAUGUGGUCAUAAAGUAUGGCUCCCAGGCUUAGGGGAGAAGCAAUAAACUUUCAUAAAUAAAAUAAUUUUAAAAUACUCCUGGCAGUAUAAAUAAGAGUAAAAUAUAACAUGUAACAGCCAACAACAGAGCUCCUUACAAAAGAAAGCUAUAAACUAAAAUAAGGAAAUGUUUGCAGCUUUUUGUUGUCGCCCUGCACUCUAGGUGGGCCGCCUGGAGAAUUCACAGUGGGAAGUUUUGGACUCACCUUCUGAAAUGUUGCCCCUAUUACAUGUCCUGACACCUUUUGAUUUGCUGAAGAUCUGUGAUAAUCACCAAGGAAACCCAUUGGGUACUAAUGCUACAAAUAAGACCGUUCUCAACACAUUUCAAGGUGUCAGAGAACACUUUUCAAAAGGAGAGAGAGUAGGAGGAUGCACCGGACCGCGUCCCAUGGCUUCAGUUAAUGCGGGAGCUUACAAGGCUCAGGCUCACUUGACUUUCAGUCUUGCUCUACCGCUGAUCUUUAAGGAAAUGUGGAGUUCUCCUGGGCUCUACGUCAGCUUUCAUUUGGGUUUUCAGCCCAGGAGUCACAUGGGCAAAAGCAUAAAAACUACAAUGGCAUUUUAGUGAUCAGUGCCUUGGUUUGAAAGACUGUUGAAGUGAUGGAUUGUUCUCUAAAAAAUUAAGGAGCAAGCAAGACAAGAUCUCCCUCCCUCCCUCUCUUCCUCUCUCUGUUUCUCUCUCUCUGUUUCUCUCUCUCUCUCUCUCUCUCUCUCUCUCUCUCUCUCACGCACGCAUGCAUGCAUGCAUGCACACGCUCACUCACUCUCAAAUCAGAAGUGAUAAAAGACAGGGAAUUGAAGAGCUGCCAGUAGAAUGAAAUCAGAAUUUAUCAGUGCUUUCAUUCAAUACAUUGGCAAUUCCCAACCAUUUGUAAUCAUGGGCAAUAUGUUUGCUGCUGAGAAAUGGGUUAAACGUACUCUCUCCCUUCAAGGAACUGAAGACUUUGCUGGCCUAGAGUGAGUUACACUUGGUCACAUGGGCCGAGUCUGGGAGGGCUUAGUGGAUAAACUUGGUUUAGAAGGUGAUAGACUAACCUCUGAAGGGAAGGGCAUUCCAAAGAUGGCAUGAAGGGGUCAAGACUGUGAAGGGAAAUAUGAAUGAAAAUUAGUUGGGCCUAGAUUUCAGAGAGUCUUCAAUGCCGAUGUAAGAGUUUGGACUUUAUCAUGUAAACAGUAGGAAGCCAUAGAAAAAUUUCAGAGCAAGAGAUGUGGUUUGUGUUUUACAUUUGUUUUAUAAAGAGAAAUCUCUGUUGGCAGUAAAGACGAGAUGAGAGACAGAUGAUGAGAGCUCUAGGGAAACAACAGAGGGAAUGAUGUGGGCAUUCCAUUUAUAAGUUGCUAUGCCUGGUACUGUCUCAAGUUGGGGUGGGGUUUUUUUAAUUCUUUUUUUUACUAUUUAUUUAUUUACUUAUUUAUUUAUUUUUGCUGGAUUAUAUGGAGAAAGGCAAGCUAGCACAGAACUUUUUUAAUUCUGAGUUUGAUUUCACCCAUUAGUAGCCAAGUGUUCAUGGGCAAGGAAGUUAAAUUCUGUCUCCUGUUUCUCAUCUGCAGAAUGCGGGUAGCAAUGAUGCCUUCUGCAUAGGGUUAUAACAAGUAUUUACUAAAUGUAUACAUAUGCAUAGCCCUUAGAACCUUGUAUGUGCUAUGUGCUAAGUAUUUUAUUUUUAUCUUUUUUCUCAGUUCAUUCAUUCAAACAGCUACUUCCCCUGGAUGUGAAGUAUAAACAACAUUUUUGUAGAGAAUGCUGCUGCAUGGUGGUCCUUAGUGUCACUGUAGAUCAUGAGGAACAGGGGAGACGUUAAGUGAAGUUCCAGUAUUGGGAAAUUUGGGCAGGCUUACUUUACGGCACAAUGUGGUUAUAUUAUUCUGAUAAACAGAUUUUGAAAUCCCAGAACACAGUGUGAACUACAUUCAAAUAUGAAUGCAGAAACACCUUCAGAAAUCUCCAAUAAACAUUUUAAUUCCCUAUGUCUUUACUUCCCUGUUUGUGAGUGCAACUGAAAAAACAGUGCCACAUUCUUAAAUUGGAACAAUAAUUAUGUCCCAUGAAUGCAAUAAAAAUUAUAAGUACUUUUAUUAAAGGUAGACUUUAUUUUAUAUAUAUAUGUAUAUAUGUAUACAUAAUAAUAUAUAUGUAUACAUAUACGUAUAUAUGUGUAUACAUAUACGUAUGUAUGUGUAUACAUACAUAUAUACAUAUAUGUAUAUAUAUACAUAAUAAGUACAAAUAUAUAUAUACAUAUAUAUUUAUUGUAUUUAUUAUAUAAAUAACUGCAGGCUAGCAUUCUGAACAACUCCAGUAGUAGAGGAAUUGUUCCUUAUGUUUCCUUGUGCAGAGCCAGUGUUCUGUUUCUUCUCAGUGUUCGGACUCCUGUAAAACAGAAAGCCGGCCCCAUUAGGUUAUAGGAAGAGUCUAUAGGAUUUGGGGCGGCGGGGGCAGGAAAGCUAAAUAUCUUGAAACUUUCUGCCUUUGAAGAGCUGAGAAAGCAGUUCUUGACGAGGGAGAUAAAUACAACCCCUCUGUAUAGUUGAGGUGAACAAAGCUUUCCUUGAUACUAAAGGUUUUUAAUACUCUUUAUUGAUGGGAGGGGUUCUUUUAUUUGAUCCAUCAAGAUUACCAAGCCACAUGUCCCCAUCCCUAACUGAAAUACGGCAUCAUGAAAUCAUGAUUAAAGUUGUAGAAACCAAUUUGUGAAGUGGCAAGAGAUGACAGAUACUGCAUUUCCCCUCUUGGUUACUGGGAAUUAAGUUUCAGUAGCAUUGAGGAAUUCUGAAAAAAUAACUGUAAGUUAUUUAAAUUAUAUUCUUCAACUUUUCCCUUGGAUUCAUGGCUAAGCAGUUUUGACUAGUUCAUAAAUUAGGACAGUGUUGUUGUUUUGUAAUAAGAUAAUUUAGUGAAAAUAUUUUUGCAGGACUGUGAUUUGUGUGGCUAGAAUAAUGAGCAAAGAUUGCAGAGGAAUCAGUGAUUUGUAAUCCCAACCCUGGUAGGCACAGAUGUGUGACUUUAAUGGAGUAAUUUAUUUUUUCUGAUAACAUUUGUCCAAUCUCCUUUGAGGAGCUUUUGUGAGAAUAAAAUGAGUGGAGUUAUGUGAAAGCAAUUUAAAACAGAAAAGCACUAAAAAUAACUAAAUGUAGUUGCUGAACAUCCUGAAGGCAUCUUAGUAGAACAAAUGGGAGUAAAACGUUGAGAGUGUUUGUUUGAUUUUCCAGGCAACAAGGGAAACUCUCAGUCGCCACUGCACUACCCUUGGUGAUGCUCUUCGAAAAGAGAAUGAUUUUGCUCUUAUAAUUGAUGGGAAAACCCUCAAGUAUGCCUUAACUUUUGGAGUAAGACAGUAUUUCCUGGACUUGGCUUUGUCAUGCAAAGCUGUUAUUUGCUGCAGGUAAGUUCUCCUUAAUAUUGUCACAUUUCAGUAAAGAGCACCUUGCUCCUAAGUUCUUGAUUUUUGAACUUCCAGAUUCUAUCCAGAAUUUGUAAAUGUCAGGUUAUUUGUUAUUUCACUCACUCAAGACUGAAGGUUUACAACCUGGAAUAGAAUUUAGUAGCAAAGUCUUAGUGAUCAUUAGUAAUUAUUUUUCAUAAUUUGAAUCAACAAGUUUAUUGCCAUCUCCUGUGUUCAAAAUCAGUUAUUUACCUACAUUUCCAUGUUUGGUAAUUACUGUAAAUGUUCUCUUUUCUACACAUCAAUCUUAGAUCCUGCUUCAAGGACUUAACUUUAGGAAAUGGCAGGAUGGGAGGUGCUUGGUCAUUUUCCUCAAGACUGUUUCUUGACUGUACAUUCCUCUUUCCUGUAAUUUAUGAUAUUUCCCAUUUCCUAAAUUAGAAUCUGUUUUGAGUUAUCAAGGCUUGAAUCCAUAGAACUACAUUUUUGUAAACUAUUCACUCCAGUCCUUCCCAAACUUCCUGUCAAAAAAAUCUUCCCCAUAUCUCUGUCUUCAUUGUUCCCCUAUAUCCUAAAAUUUAAAGUGUAUUGAUGGGACACCUGGUGGCUCAGUCGGCUAAGUGUCUGCCUUUGGCUCAGUUCAUGAUCUUGUGGCUCUUGAGUUUGAGCCCCGCAUCAGGCUCUGUGCUGACAGCGCAGAACCUGCUUGAGAUUCUCUCUCUCCUCUCUCCUCCCUCCUUUCUCUGCUCCUACCCUGCUUGUGCUCUCUCUCUCUCUCAAAAUAAAUAAACCUUAAAAAUUUUAAAUAAGGAAGGAAGGAAGGAAGGAAGGAAGGAAGGAAGGAAGGAAGGAAGGAAGGAAGGAAAAGAAAAAGAAAGAAAGAAAGAAAGAAAGAAAGAAAGAAAGAAAGAAAAAGAAAGAAAGAGAGAGAGAGAAAGAAUAUUCAUGGGACAGCUGGAUGGCUCAGUUGGUUAAGUAUCCAACUGUUGAUUUUGGCUCAGGUCAUGAUCCCAGAAUCAUGGGAUGGAGCCCCACGUUGGGCUCCAUGCUAAGCAUGAAGCCUGCUUAAGAUUCUAUUUAUCUCUCCUUCUGCCCCUCUCCCCCAUUCACCCUUUCCCUCUCUCUAAAAUAAAAAAUAAUUAAAUAAUUUUUUUUUUUUUUAAUAAAUAAGGGGCACCUGGGUGGCUCAGUCAGUUAAGCGUCUGACUCUUGGCUUCGGCUCAGGUCAUGUUCUCAUAGUUCACGAGUGCAAGCCCCGAGUCGGGUUCUGCACCAAUAGCAUGGAACCUACUUGGGAGUCUGUCUCUCUUCCUCUCUCUUUCUCUGAUCCUCCCCCACUUGUGUUCUCUCUCUCUCUCUCCCUCUCUCUCAAAUAAAUAUUUUAAAAUUAAUUAAUUAAUUAAUUUAAUGUAUUCAUGACUAUGCCCAGUGUCUUCACCGUGGAACCCAGGGAUUUUCCUCUUUGCCGUCCACUUACUGAGUCUUACCAGCUGGUCACACCAGGUCCAGGUGGCAGUGUCUCCAGUGUUUCUCCUCCUGGGAGAUGAAAUCUUAGCAAGGCUUCUGAAGAAUUUCUCAGAAUUUGUUCUUUUAACAUUACCUUUAAAUGUUUUCUAUUUCCUUUUAUUAUUAUUUUAAAGUAUAUAUUUACUGAUAAAAGAAGGUUAUGCUUUUUAAACCUUUUUUGUCUGGGCUUAUUCUCUUAAAUAUCCUGCCUAUAAUCUGCCUCCACAUUUAUAAGCCAUGCCUUGUAGAUAUUUCCGAAAUUUCAGCUGGAACCUAUUUUGUGAAACAUAUUUAAACCUAACUUAAUAAAUACCUUUUAUAAAGCAUCAUUUUCAACCUAUGAAAUUAUACUCAGAGAAUUAAAAGUGCUUAUUCCAGGAAUCGUAUUACUUUAGUCAUUUAUUUUUCUUCACUGUGGUAUGUAUUGAUAAAUGUUGCUGUAAAACAGCUCUUGGAUAGCAUGUUGUACAUACUUAAUAUUAGUAAUAUUCAGGCUUUCUGGUUAAUCACGAAGAAAGAAUUAGAGAUUAAUUUAUCUUGAUGGUCUCAUUUGCACUUUGCUAUCACCAUCCUUUUUAAAAAUCUGCUUUUUCCAGUGACCUUUCUUGAUUCCUUGCUAAUCUCUUGACCAAGUCUUAGUAGUGUUCAACUCUGACACCCUUCCAUCAGGAUAAUUGUGUGCCAGAUCUAGUUGUUAAUCACUUUCACUAAUGGGAUCACAAGGAUCAACAAAAGAUUGCUCAAAAGCACAUUAAGUGAUAUGACUGUUGGCUCCUGCUUGAAAACAAAACAGAAUACAGAGCUCUUUAGAUUCAGUGAUCGGUUCCCUUGGUCUGGCCCUACUGUAUGCUGAGCAGAUGGGCCGCACCUACAAGGAUGAAUAAGACUUCCUGCCUGCUCUCCUUCAUGUAUCCUUUUUUUUUUUCCUUUUAAGUAGAAUCACAGUUGCUUUGAAAGUUGUGGUAGGCCAGUUCUCAUAAUGCAGUCCCUGCAGCUGAUCUCAUUCUUAGAGCAUUGCUUAACACAGUACCUCCCACCAUUCUUCCAAAAGUUGAACCACAAAAUUAAACAAUAGCAGAGGGAGAGAAACACUAGAAAGCGGAGUCAAGGGAGAAAAAAUAUGUUGUGAGCUUGUGAAAUUCUCUCCCGAGAUCCUUGUUCUGGAUGGCUCACAAGUCACAUGGAUCUCAGGGCUCCUCUGGGCCCAGGUCCCUGGGAGGGAAUCACACUCUGCCAUGCACGUGCAACUCAGCUCUGAAACUGAGCUUAUAAAGAUGUGUGUGGCCCCUUCCUCCCUCCGUCCUGUUUUAUGCAUGUUUGAGGACCUGAAGGUCCCUAUGCAGACACUGGGUUUUAUUUAGAGUUUUUAGGGCUUUUUUUUUUUUUUUUUUAAGUAAAAUAUCUUUCCUCAGCUUUUUCUUCUGAGUGCCUUCAUACUCGCUCUUUUCCCCUAAGGACUGUGGUUCAGCUUCCAGUCUGGUGUUGAGAAUUCAUCAGUGCCACUGCUGUAGUUAUGUCUGUUCACCUUCUUGGCCGCCUAGUGCCUCCUGGCAUUUUAUCCAGUGGCGCAGACCGUAUUCCUCUCAUUCAGCUUACUAACCUUGAAGUACAAUUUCCAUGAUACGCUUUUGUCACUUGUGAGGAAUAGGUGGGCAAUUCUGUAGAUCUUUCUUUACCAUUAAAUGCAAGUGGCACUCCAGGUUCCCAGAAGAUGACAAUCUCCCAGCCUCAGGAAAUUCUCUAUUUUCUGCUAUUAGAACAUAUACUCCAGACAGAUACUGAAUAUUAUUUCAAAAUACAGUACUGUUUCACAAAUUUGUUUGUGUUCAUUCUGGCUUUAUGGGUUUCUCCCCGCCCAACUAUUUUCUGAUAUUCUUUUUUUUGGUCAGUCCUCACGUGAAAAUCAUCCAGAGUCUGCUCUGGGCCACAGCUAGAAUGGAAGUGGAGAGGAAAGCCUUCCCGUAAUGGAUAAUGAGGCUCUCAAUAUUAGUUCCAUCUUCAGGAUUACAUCAGCCACUUUCUUCCCUGACAUUAUCAGCAGAGAGGGCAGAAGGCAGUUUUCGGUGUUUGCCUAAUUGACACAGUUAUAAAGAUGAGCGUUUUUCCUGAAAAGCCUACAGUUGAAUUGAAAGAAACAGUUGUUCUCAGUCAGUAGUCAUUAUAUCUCUCACUCACUGCCAUUUUCUGAAGGGACUAUUCAGAGACAGAAAUAAUCCCCUCGUUCCAAAAUUAUUCAGGGCUUUGGAGUCCUGGUUUUGGUUUACAAAGGGAAGGUUUCAUGUUAUACUUCAAGUAAUUUUUUUAAGUAUGUAAAACCCAAGAAGUAAAAUGAAAUCUGUUUUUAUCUGCCCAACAUGUCCUGUAUUUUUAUAGAUACCAUGCGGGUUUUUUUUACCUCUGUGUACACUUACCUGUAUAACCUGAAUAGUUUAAUAGGAAACAUGCAUCUAACGUUAGAGGAGUUUCUGAUCAGUUUUCCUGGUUAUAAACAUAAACUCCUUGUGGUCCUUCUUUCCUUCUUUUCCCUUGCUCAAAUGCACCAAUUCCAUCAUUUGGUGGGAUCAGAUGUUUGAAGAACAUGAAAACUCUGCAUCAUUUUCAACACCCCUCGCCCCCCACCACUCCCGCAAAAUACACAUAUACACAAAUAUGUAAAAUUGAAUUCACCAUUUUAGGGGCUUCACAGACUCCCUAAAACUCUUACACAGGUAGGAGAGGGAAAGGCUUGCUCCAAGACUUGUGGAGAUUUCUGUGCCCAGCGAAAAUCAAGACCUAUUCUGCAACGUUACUGUACCAGAUAAAUAAUUCCUCAUCUCAGUUACCAACAUUUUAUGCCCUAAGUUCUUAGAGCUUGCAUAAUUGGUACAUAUAAUGGCAUUUUAUCUGAGGAUUCAUAAAAUUCUUGUUCUAAUUUUACCUCUCUGGCACUUUGGCUGCCUAAUGGAAUUUCUCUGGCUUUGGUUUUGUGACCUGUAAAAAGAAGAGCUUGGCACAUAGCAAUGAUUCAAAUCCUACACAGAGCCUGGAGGUCUAAGCAGCAGAGAGUAGAGCUUCUCUGACAUAGAGCUGUGGGAGAGCCAUGCACAUACACGCCUUCCUCAGUUAUUUCCUUCCAGCUUGAAAGCCGCUGGGCCAGAGGACCUCUCCUGGCCCUUUCACUUUCUGGACAAACCCUUCUGUGGGCCACUCUAUGCUGGGACGGGUCUGUCUACCGCUUGGAUCAGCUUAAUUUGUGGAAGCAUCUGUUCUACCUCUUUCAAUAUUCCCUCCAGAAGAGGGUGGGAAUGUUGCAGGGAAGUAUUGCUGUGUGUUAAAUAGCAUGUGGUUUCUGAGAUCCUCAUCAGUUCACAUAACCCAGCCUUUCAAAGAAUUUUACAUUUUUUCUGUAGUUGUCAGUUUAGCUUAAACGUAUUUUGAAACUUAUGUUCUGUGACAGUUGGUUGAAAAUUGGCCUAGAGCCUCCAGCUUUUAGACUGUCUAGUAAUCACCGUUCUUCUACAUAAUUUAUGUACUUAUGUCUUCUGAAAAGCAGAAGUUAAAUUGAAGUAAGCAUUUUUCCCGACUUGCAACAUCUCUAAUCAAAGUUUAACCCCCUUUUGGGCCAUUUUCCCCAUAGUGCAUUAAAAAAAAAAACACUUCAGUGAGAGUCGUCACUCAGGAGUGGCAUUCCAGGCAAAACCUUUCACCCUGGUCUGAUCAACCGGUCCUCCUAGAAGAGGUCUAAAGGGACCCUUUGAAUACUCUGUGUCAUAGCAUGACUGCAUUAAGCAAAGGGUCAAGACAGAUCUACUUCUUGAAUCUUUUGGGAUUGUCUUAAACUUGAAGGAUUUCCCUAAAUAAAUGUUUUGCACUUAAAGGGUAGUCAUAAAGCACAAAUGAAGCUAAUAAAUGCUCAACAGACAUUCCUUUAAAGAAAAAAGUUUGUGAACACCAUUGGAUGCCAAGCAGAUGUUUGGCUUUGAGAAGACUUACAAACUGUUAAUGAAUGUCAACCCCGUGUUUGCUUCCAAGAAAAUAUGAAUAAAUGUUGGAAAUGCUGAGAGAAUAUUUCUUUCAUACAUGUAUGGCUAAAAGAGGACAUGCUGAAUAAGUUUUAUAACUUCAUAAAAUGCCCAUGUUUUGCUUUAACAUCAUAUAAUAAGCUGUUCAGCCCUGUCUGUCUCAUUUGCUACUCUACCUCUCCUGAGUAAUGUUAAAUAAUAAGGCCACGGUACCGUCUGGUAGCCACUUAUGUUAUACAGUUCCCCACCAGGGAAGUCCAUAUUUGACAGUAAAAUAUUAAUAAAUCUCAACACUUCAGAAUUCCACUACAAUUCAACAUUAUAUAGUUUUAGAUAUGAUCAGUUUAGAUAAACCACCAUCACCCAACAGCCGCACGUGCACACGCACACACACACAGACACCGAUUAGAACUGCAGAUCAUAUAACUCCAGUAAAACAGAGUUAACUUGUACUGGAAAGUAUAUAAAAUAUAAGCAUGCAACUUAGUGAAUUUUCAUGAAGCAAGUACACUCCUGUAUCAAGUACUCGAGCAUAACCAGCACCUCAGAAGCCCCCGCACGCUCCCCUCCCUGUAGCUUUAUUAUCCUCCCAAGAGUAAGUGCUAUCUUGAUUUCCAUGAUCAUGCUUCUUAAAUGCUAUCUUACUCGUUUCAGUCUUUUUCUGUUUUAUAUCUUGCUAACUUGGAAUAAGUGUACGUAUCUUCCAUAACUACAUUCAAAUUCUUGAUGAUUCUUUUCUGUUCAGCAAUUUUAAGUACAGACUCUGCAGCUUUCCACUGAGGCCUCCCUAAAGCUUUACAUAAAUCAAUAGUCAGCACUCUAAUGUGUCUUCAAAAACAAAUCCACCUAAUAGAUUAUGUACAGUUCUCUUUCAGUUCUAUGGUGAUAGAAUAAAGGGCUUCAUUUUCCGAUUUGUUAAGGACAUGGUAUAUGGAAACUACAAUAUUUCUUCAAUCUGUCUACUGACCUGAUUUUGUGGGGGAAAGGAAAGCAGAGUUACUUUGGUGUAACUGGUUCUCCUUGAACCCAUAGGGUUUCUAGUGAUCACCUUCUUUCUAAUAAACCCAUGUGAGCCAUCCCCAUUUAGAGCAAGUUAGAGGCUUGGCAUUUUGAGCCAGGCUAGGGCUUCAAGAGUCAAGACCAGGUAGGAUGUAAGCCAUGAGUGUUGAACAGCUGUAGGGCAUGGAGUAAAGAGAAGGAAAAGAGCACAUCCUAGAGGAAAAUGAUCUUGCAAAACAAGAGGCAUAUUACCAAGGAAGCAGACGGAGAGACGAGAAAUGGAUAUAAUAAGCUUUUAAGUUAAGGCAUGAAUGAGGAGGUGGUUCCAGAUAGUAUUUUCCAAGAGGAAGGGAGUAUUUCAUAGAGCAAAGUGGGCAAACGUUUUCUGUAAAGGGCCAGAUAGUAAGUAUUUUAGGCUUUCUGGGCUAUACAGUCUAUGUCACAGCUACUCAACUCUGCCACGAUAGCGUGAAAGCAGCUCUGGACAAAAUAUAAAUGAAGGGGGUGACUGUGAUCCAAUAAAUCUUUAUGUAAAAAGCAGGCUACUGCCCAGAUUUGGCCCUGGGGUUAUAGUCUAUUGACCCCUGCAUGGUGUCUGUGGCUCGUGAAUGAAUGAUAAGCGGGAGACAUUCUGACAGAACAUCCAUGAGGUUCACUCCAACCUCCCUAGGCUGUAAUUUCCAGCUUUCUUUUCUGGAAAACUGAGACAUUUGCCAGUCUCUCUCCACCUGCCUGUUUCCCUUUCUCCAUGAUUCCUCAAAAAUGACUGACAUUCUUUCCGUAGUGACAGCUAUACAGCCACUCUAGAGGGUCCAUUAAAUUUCUCUGUGUCCUGGGAUUCAAGAAAAACCGUUAAAAUGUGGAAUUUCCAGAAUUCAAUUUGUUUUUGAAUGAAGUGUCAAUAGAUAUUUAUGUGUCUCAGUAGGAGAUAGAUGAGGAACUAGGACCACAGAUAUCAGAUCCUGCUCUGUCACCGAAAUGCCUCCCCUCUGUUCUAGGGGGAUGUGCCAGCAAGAUGCAAAAGGACAAUUCCAGCCACGGGACCAGGCGGGAAGGGGCACAAGCUAGCCUUCCCCUUAAGCUGGAAGUGGUCCAAAGCCAAAGUAAAGCAAAUUCUUGUUUGAUUUUUAUGCAUUAUUUUAGCUUCUGCCCUACAUGCCACUUCCUCUGCACUCCACCUUAGGAAAACAUUCUUAACUAUUUAACAUGUUCCCUUCCAAAUGCCACACUUUAUUUGUAUAUGUGUGCCACUGUGAAAAAUACAUAAUAUGGUUAUAUGUGUGUUGAAAUGAGAGAUCUAUAUUUAUAAUACUCCAGCACAAAUUUGUUGCCUCUUUAAUUUUUCUACAUUUGGGAGACUAUCCAUGUUACCAGAUGGAAAGCAAGUUUAUUUCUUCUCACCAGUACUCAUUGUUAUCUAAUGCAUCAUAAUAAUAUACAUCAUUUUAUUUAUGCUCAUAGCAAUGGCCAUAUAAGUUGCCUCUAAACCUUUGCUACCCUGGAAAGUGCUAAAGGGAAUAUCCUCUCUACAUAACCAUGCCAAGUGUUUUUUUAAUAUAUACUUAAGAAUGGAAGUGUGUGGCUGUGGCUAUAUCUAUAUUUUGUUUCAAUCAGAAUUGCCGCAUUGCUCCAAAGCAGCUCUACUCAGAGUGUGCAUUCCCAGCUUUAUGUGAGAAGGUUGCUGUUUCUGCACCUUAACAUCAAUGCUGGGCGUCCCUGAAUUUAUAACUUUGUCAAUUUGAUGGUUGAAAAGCACCUUGUUGUUUUCACUUCUCUGAUUACUAGGGAGAUUAAGCAUCUCUUAAUAUAAAGAGAGACAGAGUGUGAGUGGGGGAGGGGCAGAGAGAGAGGGAGACACAGAAUCUGAAACAGGCUCCAGGCUCUGAGCUGUCAGCACAAAGCCCAGCAUGGGGCUCGAACCCACGAACCGCGAGAUCAUGACCUGAGCCAAAGUCAGACGCUUAACUGACUGAGCCAUCCAGGCACCCCUAGCAUCUCUUAAUAUAACUACUUACCUCUCUAGAUUUCUGCUUUUGAAGUUCAUUCAUUCAUUCAUUCAUUCAGCAAAUAUUUUUUGAGCACUCGCUAUGUUUGCUAUGUAUAAGUUCUAUAAAUAAAGCAGUGAACAAGAGGAAAAUCCCUGCCUUCACAUUGUAGCUGUUGUUCAAUAAAAUCAUUACACAUAUAUAUUCAAAGGUAAUAAUUACUGUGUAUGAUUGUGUGUAUAAAUGGUCAUAGUUGUUUUAUUAUAUAUCAGAUAGAUUUAUAUGAAAUCCUUGGUAAUAGUUGCUAUAAAGAAAAGCAGCACGCUGAAGAAGAAUAGGGGUACUGAACUGUCGGCUGGGGUUUUUUAUGGCCUAAUUGAAUAUUUCUGGUGAGAAAUCAUACGUAAGGUUUCUUUCUGGAGCGCCUGGUUGGCUCAGUUGGUUGAGUGUCCAACUUCAGCUCUGGUCAUGAUCUCACAGUUCAUGGGUUUGAGCCCCGCUUCAGGCUCUGUGCUGACAGCUUAGAGCCUGGAACCUGCUUUGGAUUCUGUGUCUCCCUCUCUCUUUGCCCCUCCCCCACUCACAUUUUCUCUCUCUCUCUCUCUCUCUCUCUCUCUCUCUCUCUCUCUCUCUCCCUUUCUCUCUCUCUCUCUGUCUCUCAAAAAUAAACAUUUAAAAAAAAAAGAUUCCUCUCUGACCAUCAUUGCCUUUUCUGUGCCUUAAAUUCUGUUUUAUGUUACAUUAAUAAUGCUAACCUGGCUUUCCUUUGUUUUAUAUAUGCUUUGUCUUUUUUUUUUUCUUCUAAACCAUUAUGUUCAAUCCUUCUGUAUAAUAUAGUGGUUAAGAAUACUGUCUCUAAGUCCACAUUGCUUAAGGUUCAAUCAUGGCUUCACCACUUACUUGCUCUUUUUCCUUAAAUUAUAUAAUGUUUCUGUGCCUCAGUGUCUUCAUUUGUAAAAUGACAAUAAUAGUAACCUCUUAUAGGGUUCUUCUGAGAAUUGAAUGAAUUAAAACAAGUAAAGUUAGAACAUAGUGAGCAAAUAAGUGUUAUUAUUACCUGUUAUUAUAAAGCGUGUCUCUUUUAGACACCAUAUUGCUGAAUUUGUUUUUUGUUUUAAUAUAACCUGAGAAUCUCUUUCAGUCAGUGAAUUUAACCUAUUUAUAUUUAUUAUAAUUAUUACUAUGUCGGCCUCAUUUCUUUUGUCUUAUUAUUUUUUUAAUGUUUAUUGAUUUUGAGAGAGCAGGGGAGCAGAGAGAGAGAGAGAGAGAGAGAGAGAGAGAAUCUAAAGCAGGCUCCAGGCUCCAAGCUGUCAGCACAGAGCCCAAUGCAUAGUUCGAACUCCCAGACCAUGAGAUCAUGACCUGAGCUGAAGUUGGACACUUAGCCAACUGAGCCUCUAUAACUGCUUGUUCUGCUUAUAACUGCUAUAACUGCUUGUUCUGGUUUCAUGUUUUCAGUAUUUUCCCAAAUUCUUCCAAGGUUUUGUUGUUUUUUUAAUCAUACUUUUUCAAAAUUCUUAUAUCUUUUUAUACCAGUUCUAUUUCCUUAUAAGCCAUUAUAAGGCUUUUUUUUUUCUUUUGUGCUCAUGAUAUCCUGUUUUACCUGUGAGAUUUUUUCCCCCAUUUUCCCUAACAGCAGCAAAGUCCUUUGGGAGAAAGAUGAAAGCUACAUCCUAACUUGCGGUAAAAUUGGAGACAGGGCUCCAUCUGAGCUUAGUGAAUCCCUGUCCCCUGCCCCUCAUUCCUUUACCCAAGUGUUGCUUUUCUUAGAGGCAGCCACGUUUUGGUGAGAUUACCUGCACAAGGUAACACUGAAGGCCUUGUUAACACACCCACAUCAUUGGCACCUGUCCUUGCCUGGCUCCAUGCCCUGAGGUUGACCAAAUGAUUCCAACUUUCCUGUCCCAAGGUAGGAAAUGGGAAUUUUCCUGGGGUCUUAGUUUUAGGGUAUUGUGGAUACUCCCAAGAAUUGGGGUGUCUUUCAACAUGUUAUUUGGGGGAGUUUGAGUUUCUACAAGCUCUAAGCCUAAGCCAAAGUGUUUAUAGUGAGAGAGGAACCCCUUUGCUCCAUGCAGCCCACUCUCACCUCCCUGACGCUGGUCAGCCUGGGCUUCCAUGGGGACACCACAGGGGAUGAACAGUGCAUCUGAAAAGCUUUCCCUGCCUGUUUGUGUAUUUAUGGCCCUGGAACACCACUCUUUCCCUCUACCCAUUUACCUUCUGACAGGUAUCCAGCACUUCGUCUUUCUCCAAAGGCUUCUCAUCGAUUUUUGCUGAUUGUGACCCUCAAAUUUACCGAGCUUCUUUAGCUCCUGGCAUCUUCAGGAUUUUAUUUCAAUUUCGGGCAGUAGCCAACACUACCACUUGUUUCAUCUUCUACGAGAUAUUUAUAAGAUGAGAGAUAAUUCUUUGGUGAAACCCAUCCACAUAGUACAGAAUUGCUAAGAAUGAGGGAGGGAAGGAAGAAAGGAAAGGCAAGCUGAUUUUCUUACAGCCUAAGGAAGUUCCAACCCUUUCUUACCUACUCAGAGUCACAAGAAAAGAGAAGAGAGCAAGUGCCCAUAUAGGCUCCAACCAGGAAGAGAUGGAUGGAGGCCAUAGCUCUUACCACUCUGAGAGCAAGGUCGCAAAAGAGCAGAACCUGAAGGAGAAGCACUCUUGGCCUUCUGGAGUAGACAUGCUUCCCACUUGGACCACACCACUCCUAUAGGCAAGGCUCCCUAGACAGAAAGAGGUAGCUGGACCUUGUCCCAUGCAGGAGAGAUUUCUGUCUCUAGCACUUUUUGUCUCCUUGGAGCAAGAAUUCAUAGACCACUGUCCUAUGUAAAGGCUCAUAAUAUUUAACUCCUGGUACAGUAGGUCAGGUCAGUGAAAGUUCUUAAAUUAAUAACGGGCAGAAGGAUGGCGCUAAGAAGAAGGCUCUUCUCCUUCUCUUAAUAUUCUUCCAUAUAGGGGCGCCUGGGUGGCUCAGUCGGUUAAGUGUCCGACUUCAGCUCAGGUCAUGAUCUCGCGGUCUGUGAGUUAGAGCCCCGCGUCGCGCUCUGUGCUGACAGCUCAGAGCCUGGAGCCUGUUUCAGAUUCUGUGUCUCCCUCUCUCUCUGACCCUCCCCCAUUCAUGCUCUGUCUCUCUCUGUCUCAAAAAUAAAUAAACGUUAAAAAAAUAAAAAAAUAAAAUAAAAUAUUCUUCCAUAUAAAUUUCACCACAUACCAAAGGAUCACUUAAAUACUUAAUAAGCGAGUGAUGCCUGAACGCACAUCCCCAGCUCUGAGUUUUUUUCCAAGCUUAGUUCUGACUUUUCAGUCAGUAUAGUUAAUGAUGCCACUAGGAUAUCCCAAUGCUCUCUAAACUUCCAAGUGUCUAUAACUUCCUGAGACCUUUCCUCUAUACAUAUUCCUGCCUUUUCUGUUGAUGUUUAGGCCAUCAUUUUCUUAGUCACUCACAUUUGAAACCUCAGGGUCAUCUCUGAUCCCACUUCCAUUCAAACCCCACACCCAAGCCAUAUGUCCUUUCUUUUCAUUUUCUUUUCAAUUCAGAUACAUAUGUAGAGAGAGAUGUAGGUAUCCACAUAUAUAAAAAAGAUACAUUUUGGGGGCAAUCCAAAUUAAUAUUUUUAAUGCACUGCUUCUACCAUGCUCUUUUUUGGCUCAAAAUCUUUUUAAUUAACACCUCCUAUUGCUUAGAGCUAGUAGCUGUGAUAUUCAAACUUUCUUAUCCUGACAUGCAGAGGCCCCCUGUCUUCUGGCUCUAAGCCAUUCGGACUAUACCCACUUUCCCUUGAAAAGGUGGUAUGUUUCCUUCUCCACCUAAUAAUUUUCCAUCUGUUUUUCCUAUCCAUGUGAGAAAGCCUGGAGAAUGCAAUAUCCUUUAUGUACUUCCUCUGCAUUCUAGAUACAGAGCAGAUUAAACAGACUUUGCCUCCUGACAGCAAACAGUAAAUUAAAAAAAUUUAAAAAAAAAAUGAGUGAGAGUUGUAGUGUUAGUAUAAUGAGAUAAUGAGAUGAAUUUCUUGUUUUUGCAAAAUUGCCAUUUAUUCAGUUCUACUAGCACUUUACAUUUGCUCUGGGCUGAGCCUAGAGCUGGGUUCCAGAUACUAGAUGAUGAAAGAAAAGAGAAGAGAAGGAAGGAAGNNNNNNNNNNNNNNNNNNNNNNNNNNNNNNNNNNNNNNNNNNNNNNNNNAAACAGACUUUGUCUCCUGACAGCAAACAGUAAAUUAAAAAAAUUUAAAAAAAAAUGAGUGAGAGUUGUAGUGUUAGUAUAAUGAGAUGAGAUGAAUUUCUUGUUUUUGCAAAAUUGCCAUUUAUUCAGUUCUACUAGCACUUUACAUUUGCUCUGGGCUGAGCCUAGAGCUGGGUUCCAGAUACUAGAUGAUGAAAGAAAAGAGAAGAGAAGGAAGGAAGGGGAAGGAAGAGACAGGGAGAGAGAGAGAGAGAGAAAGAGAAAAAAGAGAGAGAGAGAGAGAGAAAGAAAAAGAGAAAGAAAGAAAGAAAGAAAGAAAGAAAGAAAGAAAGAGAGAAAGAAAAAGAAAGGGGGAGGGAGGGAGAAAAAGAGAAAGGAAAGAAAGCAGGAAAGAAAGAAAAUGAACAGUAGCAUUGUAGACAAACUAUUCUCUGGUGUUGAUACUAUAAUAAAGAUUUCUAUCAGGAAUUUUUUUCCUUUUGGGGUAUUUAUAAGGUACAUUUGCCAGUUAGUAGUUUGGAGUGUCUGUGAACACACACACAUAAAUGCGUAUUCAAAUAUACACUAUCAAUACAAUCAGUCCCUAUUUAAAAUAUUAUCAGAACCAUUGAAACUGGAGACAGGAGUAGUUCAUCUAUAACAACCAUGAUUAUGGGGGGAAAAAAUGUUUGCAUCUAAAAUGCAUUGCAGAAGGACAUCUUAUUUAAAAUUACUUUCCCUUUUUGCCCUGUGAAAAGGCUAUCUGCAUUUUAUUUCUGUAGACUCAAUCCCUGUAUUAUAAGGUCCCCUUGUUGCCUCUGACUGCACAGUAUAUCAACAGAUGUUGCUUUUGGAGGCUAGGAAAGCACUCACUCAUCAGUCAUUUGAAUAACACAGUUCUCUUACCUAGAAGUAGUUGAAUGUUUCAUUAUGUACCAUAUGCUAAGUAUAGUUUUGAAGAUGCUAUAUACGUGGCUGUUUUCAUUCCAGUAAUCGAUGUGUUUGUAGAAGUGUUCUAAUAUUUAUGUAAUUUUGGUACAUGUAACAGAUUUUUUUUUUUUGGCCAAAUUUUAAUUCCUCUUCAAUUCAAAACUUUACAAAUGAGCCUAACAAAUUUUAGUUCAGAGUCAAGAUCUCAAAAGUUUUUCUCUUAGGUUUUUUUUUCUCUUUUUAUAUUUUUUUUAUUAGCAGAAUAUGACUCAAUGGGGAAUAAAUAGACUGAUAGUCACAAGGAGAAAUCUUCAGAAGUGUUGGAAAAUACAGCAGAACCCCCUACUAAUGAUCCUGACCUCUAAAUAGUCACCAGGAGCACUUCUCAAGCUUAGUAAAUACAGGGGCUCUAUAAGCACAGGGUCACUAUAAAAACACUUCAGGAAAAUUAAGAAAUACUCUCUUCCUCCUUGUUCUUAAAACGUUUCUCUAGAUUCACCUUCUAAUAGCAACUUUAUAGUAACUUUUAAGUUUUCAGUAUGUUUUUGAGAUACAUUAUCCAUAUUAUUUCUAGUGUAUAUAUAAGAUGUUUUUUAGGUUAGUAACCUAAAAACAUAAUACAGUAAGAUAAAUUAUUAUACUCCUUUUGGCUACCUAUAAAAAGUCCCCUAAAAUAUUCUGUCUUUAUCCGUAUUCCAUUCAAAAAGGCAGUUCAUUUAGCUAAUCCCAUUAAAAGAGUGCAAAAUGAGGCUCAUUAAAGAUGUGCUCUCUAUAUACCUGCAGCUUAAGUGGUAAAAAUUGUCAGUACACUGAUCUAAUGUCCACUGGACAAUGAGAGUUACUACAUAGCAAAUAAGAAAAAUACUGAACGGCAUGUGCAGAAACUAUAGCCAAAAUAAUAUCUGAAGAGCUAUUACACUCAGUGUGCUGCUAGUUUGUAUUGCAAAAGACCACCUUCUGUUUGUGGAGCCACAGGAAGAAAACUGUAUCUUUAGAGCACAUACUUGAUUAGUCUUUGUCCACAGAGCCUCUGGCUUCUCCCAAAGAAGAAAAGAGCAACAAUGGAGGAGAAGAGAACUGUGUAUAAUUGAAGUCCUAACGCAGACCCAUGCGUGGUUUUAAAAAAAAUCUAGAGUAGAAAACAGUGCUUUUAUAAUGUUUCUGAAUUAUACAUUGGGUCACUACUGGUGUUUGUAACAUUCAGUUUUUAGUUACUCUCAAACAUGGAUCUCUAGUUUUUUGAUAGACAUUUGGGAAAAUUAGCAUGUAGUAACAUUGUUCUAGACUAUUCUGGAAAUUGUACAUAUAUAGAAGCAUGUUUAUGAAAGUCAAGAAAAUAAAUAAAUUCUAAUGCUUGACUUCAGUUAGUGACUUCUUAUAAGAUAGGACAAUGGUAGAAGGAAUAUGUUCUAGAUGAUUUCGAACAGUGAAGAAGUUUAGUAUAUGCUAUUUGCUGGGUUGUUUUUUUUUUUUUUUUUUUUUUUUGACCUGACAAUAAGCUCUCCUCUCCUUGUCAAAGCCAAGUCAUAUUCUAACUCAUCAAGGAAGCCCCUUUCAAGCAAUUCUGAUUUCCACGUCCUCUGAAGUUAUGAAGUACUGGCAAUUAUAUCAAAAAGCUUUAUGCUACACUUUUUAAUGUCAUCUAAGUUUGUUGUGCUAUCUUGUAACUGCCUUGUACCAAGGAACAGUUUUUAAAAUGGAUGCUGUAGGGGCACCUGGGUGACUCAGUCAAGUUAGCGUCCACCUUCACCCCAGGUCAUGAUCUCGUGGUCCAUGAGUUCAAGCCCCACGUCAGGCUCUGUGCUGGCAGCUCGGAGCCUGGAGCCUGCUUCAGAUUCUGUGUGUGUCUCUCUCUGCCCCUCCCUGCUUAUGCUCUGUCUCUCUCAGUCUCUCAAAAAUAAAUAAACAUUAAAAAAAAAAUUUUUUAGUGGAUGCUGUAAAAACAGUAGAGCUUUUUAACUGAUUUCAGCUCGACUAACCUGAAUCCUCUUGAACCACCUUGUCUCCCUAAGAGAUGCCCACAGUGCAUCUAGGCCAGACCUGAAAGGAUGCUUCUCAGGACACAUCUGCACUUUUGCUUCAUGAGAUGACGUGGUGCUUACUAGGAAUCAGUCAAAAUUGUUGCUAGGAAAGCCCGGUAUAAUACUCUAGAGAGACUUUCAGAGUUGCUAAACCAUUUGCUGUAUACUUUAGAGUGGGGAACAGAACAGUGAGCUGGGGUGGAGGCGUCAUUACGUUCUGGUCUCCACUUGAAUGAAACCGGCCGUGGAAUGUGCCUCAUGAGUGAGGUUUGUGCAACAAAAAUAGGCAGAAUUUCAAACAGUAGACCCCUCUGCAAAGUAAGGCUCUUUGCUCUACAUCACAAGCUUGUGGGUUCAUGAGUUAAAUAUUUUAUGUAUGCAUAUUUUAUUUUUUAUGAAUCCCCACUUAGCAACGGCUAUGUCAGACACAUCAGAUAUGAAGGCUUCUGCCGUUUGUUGAAUCUUCUUCCAAGCCCUUGUCUGCUGUUAGCUUGUAAAGGAAACAGAUGCCGCUGCUAGUAAGAGUUACAGUGUAACUUUGGGGACGCCUCUCGCUAUAUCGUCAUCUUUUAAAACACACACACACACACACACACACACACACACACACACAGGCAUUGUUCUUGCCAAGGGGAUUAAUACUCCAUUUUUAACACCUGAGAUAACCACGCUCACGAAGUUGGUGAAAAUCCUCAGCCAAUUUUAAUUUGGGGACAUUGAAAAUUAUAGUGGCAGGCAGAAGAAAUAGUGGUUGGUUGUGAUAGCCAUGAAGAAAGAAAACAAAAUUGAGUCCAGCCCUUUUCUGAUGCCACUUCCAAUCUCUGGUCUUAGCUCCCCAUGCAGAGAUUUCUCUUUUAUGACACAUUCAGCCGAUGAAAACAGAUACCACCUUUUUCUAAUUCCAUCGAUCCCAUGGCGUGACUUCACAGUUAUUUACAUUGUGAUCCUGUUAACUUACAAAGGCAAUUUGAUGAAUGUUUUCAAAUGAUUCUCUCUUUUCAUGUCCAUUUCCCAUUUGCUAUUUAGAUCAUUUCUUGGUGAGCAUGCUUUUUGACAUUUACUACAUGUUAGCUGUAGUCCAUGUUUAAACCAUUGGCCUACAGCCAGUGGGCUUACCAGUUUAUAUUAGUCUGUUAAGAAAAAUUAAAUGAAAUGUGAAAAUGAACGGAAAAUUACCUCAAAGAAAAAUGGGGGCUAACUGUGAAAAAGCCCAUAAUGGCUGGUACUCACCCAUUCCCUUGCAGUGUUCACAGUUGGGCCAUUUUGUGCUAUUGCCAGACUCUGAAAGGAAAUCCAAAGAAAGAAUUAAAAAGAAUUAUUUCAUGUAGCAGCCGUUUAUUGAGUACCUAUUUUGGAUCAAAGAUGAGGAGGCUGGUUCACUCUGCAAGUAACUCACAGCCUAAUAUAAUGAUUCUCAAACUUUAAAUAAAAUCUGGGGCUGCUCUGAUGGAAAACUUUUCAGAAAGGCAGUAGGGCCACUUGAAGGUACAUAUCUGUGCGGAGUAUCCACUGCUGGGAAUUGUUCCUAAGGAAAUUUAUAAUAAUCAGGAAAAUUAUAAGGUAGCAUCUUUCAGAGUAGGGUCUUCAUUUUUAAAUAGAAUAAUAAAUGAUUUUCCAGAUGUUCCAGCAGAUAGGUAUUAGAUACCUACUCCACUUCACCUUGAUAAAGAAUUUACCUCUGAUCACUAACAUUGUGUGUGUUAGUUGUUUCUUCAUACUUAAUUACUGUCUUCAUGCUUUUUGGACUCAGUUCACUGUUUAGUUUUCCUCUUUGUUUUUAAUUGCCAAUAAUUGUGGAUGAUAUAGGAAUUACACUGAGGCAUUCUGUCUUUGGACCCUUCUGUCAUUGCCAUGGGGUUUAUUUCUUAAGUGGCUCUUUUAUUUUUAAGUAAUCUCUCCACCCAACGUGGGACUCGAACUCACAACCGUGAGAUCAAGAGUCUCACACUCCAUCAGCUGAGUCAGCCAGGCACCCCCUUAAAUGGCUUUUAAAAAUCUGUGAUAAAUUGAUCCAAAGUUAACACCAAAUAUGAUUUUAGUAUAGAUGCUGGUGUAUUCUGUUCCCGACCCCCGUCUGUAUAAACGGUUGCUUGUGGUGCCUGGGUAGUUCAGUCAGCGUUUGACUCUUGAUUUCAGCUGAGGUCAUGAUUUCACAGUUUGUGAGUUCGAGCCCUGCAUCAGGCUCCAUGCUGACAGUGCGGAGCCUGCUUGGGAUUCUCUCUCUCCUUCUCUCUCUGCCCCUCCCCUGCAUGCUGUCUCUCUCCUCUAAAUAAAUGAGAAAGAAGGAAAGAAGAGAAAGAAAAGAAAGAAAAGAAAGAAAGAAAGAAAAGAAAGAAAGAAAGAAAAAGAGAAAGAGAAGGAAAGAGGAGGGGAAGGGAAAGGAAAGGAAGGGAGAGAGNNNNNNNNNNNNNNNNNNNNNNNNNNNNNNNNNNNNNNNNNNNNNNNNNNNNNNNNNNNNNGAGAGAGGAAGGAAGGAAGGAAGGAAGGAAGGAAGGAAGAAAAGGUUGCUUGAUUCUUCUUGGCCGCUAGUAUCUUUGGAAGAAAAUUGAGGCAUAUGAACUAUGUAAUCAGGCAUUUGGUGUUUAUUGUGGUUGAUUGAUUCAUCAUGGUGUAUGAGAACAGAUCAAGAGGUUAGCCAGUUCCCCACUGCUCCUUGGAGUUUGAAGUUGUGCAUAGUACAUUAUCUAACAUCUGCUUACAGAGGCUCAAAACUUUUAUUUCCAAGGUACAGUAUAGGAUUUAGUUAGUGUAACAUUUAGACUACCAUCCAGCAGCUGUCCUGACCUUUCUCAUUCAAAUGUGAAGAAUUUGAAAUUCUGAUGUUGCUUAUUAGGAAGCGGUGGAAUUUCUAAAUUCAAAUGUGAUUUCGUUAACAAAUUAAUGCACCCAUUCCGGUGAAGUAGUGUUUAACGGGGCCCUGCAGCUCCUACCUUUCACCUACAGGCCUGCUUCUUAGACUCUCUUUUUCCCUUAGAGUGGCAACCAGGGUAACAGAACUGAGCAUCUGCAAACCAAAGACUUUUACACAAUGGUACUUCAUAGAACUAUCCCUUUGGAUCUUCCGCUGCUUUUAUCCUUCAAGACCGUAACACUUCAAAACUCCUUUUCUCAGAAAGCAGAGCUAAUUGAUACUUUGUUCUAAUUGAAGGGUUUCUCCUCUUCAA